UUUUUUUUUUUUUUUUUUGAAUCAAUCAUUUUUCUGGAUUAUGAAUUGUAUUGGAUUAGGAAUAGGAAGAUUAGAUGUGUUCUGAUUCACACAUUUGGAUUAAAACCUGAUCCUCCAUCACCAUGAUUGAUGGCGGGCUGAUACAUACAACCUAAAUCAACUCGACUCGACUGGAGAAGAUGAAGAGGAGAAACCCGUUCUUUCAGUUACGCUGUUGCGACGGAGACGGUGGAGAAGACACAUGUCACGUGGAGGUAAUGAUUGCUGGCUGUAGCUGAGACGGUGGAUAAUACACAUGUCAUGUGAAGGUGAUGGUCAUUCAUUGCUGGCUUUAGCCGCCAUAGAUGAGAUGAUUGUGCAGAACUCGAAGGUUCCUACUCCCUAGGUUUUUUCUUUUCUUUUCUUUUUUUUUUUUUUAAUUUUUAACUAUCGGUAAUCCUUUUGAUUGAUUUGAGGCCUAAAUUAGUAAAUUUGGAACCUAAUGCAGUCUUAACGUGACAUGUGUCUUUCUUUUUUUUUUGGGGACAAAUUUAAUGAUAGUGAUUUUGUUGUACUCUAUGGCCAUCCUCAUCUAUUAUUAGAGGCGGACCAGCACCCCACCCAACCCAACCAAAAUUAUUCUUCUUUCAUAUCAUUCGUCCAUCGCGGGGACUUUUGAUUUGCUUUUUGGUUGUACUUUUGAUUAAUCCCAAAAGCCAAUCAGUUCGUCAUUAUCAUCAUCUACUCGUUGUCCAAAUAAAGCUUCGAUGAAAUAAUACUUGAAGAUAGAUUAAUAAUCUUAAUCUCGAUUUCUGAUUGGUGUCGUAAUAAUAAUUCGAUAAAUUUAUAUGAUAAUAUUUUUUUAAAAAAAUUAUAUUUUUAUAAGAUCUACUCAUUAUAUAAAUUAAUAAUUACCUAAUUAAAAAUUAAAUUUUACAUGAUAUGUUUUGUGACUUUUGGAAAAUAAAUUCUCAAUGUUGCUUCCUAUUUUUUAAAGUUAAUUUAGAAUUAAAAUUUAUCCCUGAACUCUUUUUAUAAUGUAAAAUUUCAAUUUAUAUUUUCACUUACAACAAGCACAAGACGGACUUCCUAUGUCAUUUUUAAUAUAAAAAUAAUAAAUUUAUAAUAAUUUAAUUAAUAUCAAAGACAACUAACUACUAUUGAAAUAAAACAUAAGAAAUACUAAAUCAAGGUAAAUAAAAAUUAAAAAAUAAAGAUUUUUUCGUAAAUUAAAAAUAAGUUAAUUUAUUAAUAUAUUAAUAUUCACGAUAUUUAGGUUACUAUAAAAGGAGUUCGCAAUCCUUUUUUUUCUUCAUUCAAAGUUCUCUAAUAUGAUUUUUAUUAUUCAAAAAUUUAGUUUCUCUUAUCCAAAAAUCUUUUAUAUUUCCACAUCGUCAUUAUCUUGUAAUUUUGAUGUCAGUGACUUAGUUUCAUGGAAAUAAUUUUAAUUGCUUUAGUUUAUUUUGAUGUUUUUGUGUUGGUAAUAUGAUUUUAUUCUUUUACUUGAUCACAAUUAAAUCAAGUUCAAAAUAAAAGUAUAAUUAUUUAGGGAUUGGAUAUCCUUGAAGAUCUCCUUUAUUAUUAAGAUUGUGACUAUUAGCGCCCCUCCAAAAUCCUAUUGAAACCCCUUUUUCAAUUAUAUUUCAUUUAAUGCCAAAAAUAUCUUCUUCUUUUUUUCCAAAUGAACACUCUUUUUAUUUUUGAAUUUUUGAAUUUUUGAAUUUCUAAUAUUUUUCUCACUCUUUCAACCUUACUAUUAGUUUGAGAAUUCUUAAAAAAUUAUUUACAGUAGGAUAAAAUUUUAUUUUACUUAUUUUUCCACUGUAUUGUAUCUUAAUUAAGUUGUUAUGUUUAUUACAAGAAUUUUGUUUUAGCUUAGAGGAUUACUUCUUAAAUUCAUAUUAUUUUAUUGAUAAUAAAAUAUAUUUAUAUUGUGCAAGUAAAAUAAAAUUGAAGAGAACAAGAAAAUAUAAAUGGCUUAAUUUUAUUUAUAUUUGUCCUUAAAUGUAAUUAUAAUAUAACAGGGGUUUUAUAAGAUUAAUGAAGGGGUGGCAAUAGUCCAACUCUAUUAUUAAUUUGGGGAUCUUCAUUUCCCUUCCUCAAGCAAUUUUAAAGGGGAUGAGAAGGGUACGAGAAUAUAAACAGAGCAUCGAAAAUGGGUAUGGAGACGUCAAUCUCCUCCCCUUCCAUUUCCAUUGCCAUCCAACAUGUGUUGUGGGUUAAUUAUUGGUAACACCUACUUGCUCAAUCCACACAAAAAUGGUAACUAAUGAGGAAAAGUACAGGAUAAGGCCGCUCCUUAUUUAAUAUAUUAUAAGUAUAUAAUUAAUUGUGAUUAAAUUGAUAAUAAUGGUAAUUGACAUGGUUAGGAUAUUUAGACUUAAAUUCUUGACUACAAAUUUUGACAAAAUUGGUAAGCUAUUGAUUUCAAGUAAUCCAAUUGUAGAUAUUGAAAUUUAAAGUAGCAUUUAGUGGGGGUUAGUAUCAUCUAUCUUUGGAUUGCUUGAAACAAUAGCUCAAAAAUUGUAUCAAAAUUUUAAGUCAAGAGUCUUAAGUUAAAUUUUUAUUUUUGUUAAUUUAAUAUCAUUUUCACUUUACUGAAAUGAGAAUGAUUUGAUUAGAGAAUUAUUCUACACAUAUGCGGCAAGAUGCAUGCACGUAGAGCAAAUUAUAGAUAAAUAGAUAUACAUACCAAUUCAAUUAUUAUUAUUAUUAAUGUGGAUGAAGCUUAGAGAAUAAACCUCUCGACCGUGUGCUUUACGUGUAGAGAGUCUUUAUAUUGUGGAGACUCGCCUGAUCUUUGUCUAAUCACACUAAUGCUUUUGCUAAUUGCUAUGAGAUUCAUGGAAAAUAAUUUAAAAAUGAACAGGGGAGCAACAACUAGGAAUGCUAGCUGGCAAAUUUCAAGUAAUUUUCAAGAACAAGGCCCACGGUAUCGCUAGGCUCUAGCUAGUUGAUUUUAUUUUUAUCUUUAAUUUACAAGAUAUUCUUUCCUAGCUAUUACAUAUUAUAUGACAUCUUCAGUUUGAGUGGAAAACUUAGGAAAAGCGUUAAUUCCUUCGGCAAAAUUAAAUUAAUUAUUACGUUUCCAUUAGUCUCAUGUCAUACAUUUGGAUAACAUGGUAUAAUAUGUAGCUCAUAAAAUCAAGAUUCUAAUUCUCUCAUCAAUUAGCAUCUAACAUACUAAUAUAUAAUUCUGGUUUACUUGGCCAAUACCAAAACUAAUUAAUAAGAUAUCCAUCAUCUUUCUCAGAAAAUAAUUUUGUUGUUGUCCAAAGCAUCAUUUAUUUAUUUAAAAGUAGUGGUACACAUUUCAAAUUUUUUAUCCCAAACAACUAUCCUAAAUGAUGUGGUAUUUAUCAAUUGGUUAGUGAGAUAAUACAAUUAAUUUACUUGUAUUUUGUAAAAAAUUAUCAAUCAAUUAAUGAAUACCAUAUCAUUUGCAAUAAUUAUUUGGAAUAAAAAAUUUGGAAUGUCUAUGAUUACUCUUUAUUUAAAGUAACUGAUGAAAAUCCGGCUACUAAAGCAUGACAAGAUCCAUUAAGCAUCAAUUGGUAUCAGAGCUUAGGUUCUAAAUCUAGUUUGAUCAUUAUGAAUAUAUUUAGUUUUUCUAAUUCUGCAUAAUUUUGUUUCUUAAUUUUUGUUUAAAUCCAUAAACCUAUCUUCUUUAAUUAUUCUUUUCCCCAACUUUGCCUUGAUCCUUCAAGUUCUGCUCUUCUCAUUUAAAAGAAAAAACCAAAAAAUAAAGAAAGUUUCAAAAAUCAAUUGAAUUUAAAGAGUAGCUUGCUAUUCAAGUCUUGCCUAUUCCAAUUUUCAGCAAUUAAAAAAAAUGGGGGUAAUUCUAAUUGCAUCAAGAUUUAUAAUUUUUUUUCUUUAUUUGAUUAUGAUUUGUUAAGAUUGGAUUGUUGCAAGUGAAUUUUGGUAGAGUUCAUUUAGUUCAAUAAAGAAAUAAAGGAGAAAAUUAAAGAAUGGAGAAAGACAUGAGUGUGUGAGCUUAUAAGAGGGUAAAAGGCAUAUUUGAGUAAACACGAGUGUGAGUACUAUCAAUGUUGAGUGGAAACACGUGAGGAGUAUUCGUGAGGUUUUCUAACUUUGUUUUGUAGGUUACUAAAUAUGUCUCAAGACAGAAAUCAAUUUCUUUCCAAUGAUGCUCAGGAAAAAGAUAGACUUUAAAUUAUUCUUUAAGUCCUUAGAACAAAAGUUUGAAUGCUUGCAAUUGAGGUUUGAUGAGGUGAAUGAGAGAAUAUAUAAAGUUGAAUCUAGCUCACAAAAGCAGCAACCACUAAAAGCUCUUAAUUUGCAACAAAGAGGGAGAAAUUCAUAUAGGUGUGUUGAUGAAGAUGACUAUAGGGAAGACCUAGAUAACGAAGAUCGUGCUCCUUAUAUUAAUUUAAGUAGAUUUGGGCGAAAGAAUGAAAAUAGAGAGGUUAGAUAUAGAGAUUAAAGUUUAUAAUAAUAGUGAGAGCUUUUCUCUUUGUUUCUUUAGAGAACUAUCAGAACUCAAGAUUUCAUCUUAUGGCAUUCUUUCUUGACUUAUCACUCACAAUCUUCUCUUCUUCCUGGAGUGUGGGGUCAAGCCUAGAUUUCUUAUAUCAUUGGUUCUUAUAUUUAUAGGACAAGAUCUUUAUUUUAUGAUUGUUUGAAUAUAAAUUAGAACGAUCCUUAGUAAAUGAACCUCGUCAACAAGUGUAAGAUCUCACCAAUCUCUGUAAAGUUCACAUCAGUAGCUAGGUAUUCGAGCACAAAUUAAUCAAUUUAUUUGUGAGAGAUUUUCAGCAUUUAAUUUGAUCUAUAGUAAGAAUAUAUGAAAAAUGGGAACGACUAUUUCAAUCGAAGAUUUUUAUUUGAAUUUAGACAUCAAAAUUUGAUUAUUUAUUUAAUGUAAACUAACUGUUUUGACAAUUGCUUACAUGUUAUUAAAAUUGUUUUUAAAAUAGCUUUAAAAAAAAAAAGAGCUGGCACAUUAAGUUGUAGAAAUUUUAAAAGAUUGAGAACAUCUCUAGCUCCUGGUAUUCUUUCCUUAGGUUGCUCAUAAUCUAAUUCAAUCCGCUCAAUCCGUCUGAUCCGUAAAAAUUCGAUUCGUAAAAAUCCAAUCUAUGGACUUAUGGAAGGAUUCGAUGAAAGUUUUAAAAUCUAUAGUUGGUGAAUUAGAUAUGGAUUUUUUUCUUCUAUAAAUCUGCAAAAAUCGGCAAAUGCCAAAAAAAAUUAUUUAAUUAAAAUAGUAAAACUUAUAAACGUGGCAUUACUACCUACUAAUAAAUAAAUAAGUUAAAAUAUAGUUACAUUAAUGUCAUAUUAUAUCACAUGCGAUAAUAAUAUAAAAUAAAAAUAAUAAAAGAAUUGAAUAAUUAAAUAAACAAAUAUAGUUUCCUAAACAAUAAAAAUUCUAAAGUAUUUUGACAAAUUGGAGGUAGACAUUUUGGGCCAUCAUCAAUGCUCUCAAGUUUCAACUUUUAUAUAGAUUUAAAUUCAUAAUUUUAGUUAAUUUUCAAGUAUUGAUCUAAACAAAUGUGAUUUUUUUUUUAGUUUCGGAAUAUUAUAUUUUGAAACUUUGAAUGUAUUAUUCUAGCUUUAUUUAAACAAUUAACUUAUUUAAAUAUUAUUCAGUUUUGAAUUUGAUCGAUAGUAAAAUUAUUUUUAUAUCAAUUUUUUUAUCUAAUUAGUUCGUAGAUUUGACAUAAUUAAAAAUUUUAAUAUGUAAACUAAUUUGAAAAAAUAUGGAUUGGUUAUCGAUUAUGUCAAAUACGCAUAUGAUCCACAAGUAUAUGAAUUGAAUUUGGAUUAAGCUUCACCAAUCCAUAGAUUAGUUUGGAUUCAAAGAUUAUAAUCCAUAAAAUCGUGAAUCAUAUAUAGGUUGAUGUCUAAUUAACAAAAUUCAAUCUACAAACACCCCUAUCUUUAAUUGCUUUUAGCAUAUAUGUUGACACUCAAAAUUUGCAUCGAUGAUAAAAGUUGAGAAAGAGUUGUUCUACUUAGGAAACAGACCAUGAGAGAGGUUGUUGUCCUUGGAUUACCAUUGUUAAGAAUGAAGAGCUUGGAAUCCUACAAAAAAUAAUCCAUCAAAGAAUGCUGGUGACAUAGAACUCCUAUGCUUAAGUUAGAGAUCGAGAGCGGUGCAAUAACAAACAAAUAAUAAGAGAGAGAAGAGACUUAAAGUAUUAUAACCUUCCUCUAAUAUACCUAUUUCUCAUGAUUGUAUCUUUGAGUGAUGACCUUUUUAUUUAAGAGAGAUACUCAUAAGUAUAAUUUAGUUAUGAAAAUUUAUCUGCUAUCUUGUAGGAUUUGACUUUGACAGCGAUUAAGACUUAUAUUGUUUUAUACUAUUUAGAUUAAGACAUGUUAUUGGAUUGUGGUCCUUGGACUAUGAGGUCCAUUCGUUUAUGUCAACGGGUCGAGUUUGGUAAAAAAAUGGUAUAACAAUAAUUUUUUUGGGGAAAAAUAAUAUUUCAUUUUUCUAGCAAAUCGUAUUCUUCCCCGAAGAGAUCAAGUUGAUAUACAUCUGUUUUAACAUCAAACCAGAUAUACAGUUAAUCUCUUUAUUGUUAUUGAUCUCUUGUAUUAUAACCUUUAAUUUGUGUUGUAGCCAGGUAUAAUUGUUUUUGUUUCUUGUUUGAAAAAUUAAUAAUUAAACCAAUUAGUUAGUUUGCUGCUGGUUUCUUCUCUUUUUAUGGUAAAUUUAAUGGGGGUGUAAAAUAGAUGAAUAAUGGCAAAACAAUUCCGUCUUGAUUCUGCAAUUAACUAAUGGUUCAGAAUAACACGUACACUUAUUCUUAUUCUUAUAAUUUUACUAUUAAAAUUCCCAUAUUGAUUCUUUUAACUGAAAAGUGUAGAACAACACAAAGUUCUCUUUUUCCCAAGGCUUGUGAUUAAACUAUAAAUUAAAUUGGAAUGCCUAUUAAGUAAUAGCAACUAAGUAAUAGCAAUGUGAUGAGGGAAUAAAACUUUCUGAGGCCGUGUAGACAGCCAUGUUGUGUAGUGAUUUUCAAAGAUAGUGGGAAACGAAAAAAAAAAAAGAGAUUUUGAGAAUAUAACGUUCCUUUUGCGUGAAACUCUAAUAUAUUAGUGAUAGUAUCUCAUGUUAAUUAAGAAUAUUUGCUAGAUUAAUAAUAUAAUCCUAUGUGAACUAAUUCUUAACUUGUAAGCUAACUUUAAUUUGAGUAUACAUUAAAUCCAUACGUUUUUAUUUAUAUAGAGCCAAACUCACUCACCACCAAAUGGUGCCAAACUCACCCUCGAUCAAGUGGUAAACAUAUGCCACAUCGGGACUGCGUGCGGAUGAAUGAUUUCCCUUAAUUGAUCGCUUCAUGGUGCGCCUUGAUGACCUAGAUUUGAAGCAUUAAUAACGUGAUGAUAAAGUUUUGAUACCAUUCCCUUUGGAAAGGGUAAUAUAUAAUUCUAUUUAAUUAUGUAGGCUAGGAGACAUCACCAAGAAAACUGCUUACUGCUACCCCCUGGACUUGGAAUAGUAUGUAUCAGAGAAGCAACUUUGGAAUAUAUUACCAAGAGAUAUUACAGCAUAAGGGAAGCGAUGCCAAAGCCAAUAGAUAGAGAUUAGAGGAAUAUCUUCUUUGGGUUUGGAAUCGUUUCUUGCUUAUUUCUCUUCUUUUUCUUCCUUAGCCAUUUUGCCUUUACCUUGACAAUAUAUCUAUAUAUAUCGAGCCCAUGGCUACCUUACUAGCUAAGGCUUUCCGCUCAGUUAUAUCUUCUAUUGCAUACUGUUUCUGUUUGUUUCGCUAUCAAGACAAAUUCAAAACCAUCAACGUUAACAACAACAUGCCUAAGGGACGACCACUUUCUUUGCAGGUUUGUUCGCUUAAUUAAUUAAUUUUGCAUGUUUUUCAUCGAUCCCAAUGUGUACGUAGGUAUCUCAUCUCUUUAUUUGGUUUGGCCUUCAACUUUCAUCAUAUAUGGUCCAUGGUUUUUCAUUUUCGAGUUGCCAAAGAAACAAACUUUCUUUUCGUCUAAUUUUAUUUUCAAAAGGUCACUUUUGGCUCCUUAAUGUUAACCAGCUUCAUCACCAUAACUGUUUUUCUGUUUCCAACUUCUUAAGAUACAAAAGAAUAUAUAGGCAAGAGAUUGUUUUUGGCUUUUUGCUUUUUUUUUUUUUCGGGUCUUUAGAAAUAAAAGAACUAAAAAUCUUGUUUUGUUAAUCAGUUUUUAUAAAUAUGAAUUAUAUAUAGAGAGAUACUUUCUCUAAUGCAGCCGUACUCAUUUUUUUUUCAUACAGAUAUAUUUUUAAGUUAUAUAACUUAAUAGUGUCAAUUUUUAAUAUUAUUAAACUAUACGUUUUUAUAAUAUAUUAAAAAUAAAUUAUAUGAAGCCGCAUAUCUUAACAGCUACGGUGUCUGUAAUAAAAAAUCGUCAGCGCGGGAGUGCAUAUAUAUAUAUAUAUAUACACUUUGGCAGCAAUUAGCUCAAAACUUCUUUCGAUCAUUGUUAUGGCUCUUUAAUCACGUUGUCGUUUAGUAUAGCAGCUUUAGGUAUUAAAAUAAAAAUAUAAUAGGUAAAUAAUUAAUAAUAUUACUGCUGGCUGCUUGCUGCGGGCUAUAAAGUGAAUAUAUAUUAAGAUACGUAUCCAUGGUAACCAACAAUUAAUUCGUACGUUUAAUUAGUUAAUCUAAACAAAACAGGUAAUCCCUUUGGUUUCCUAUACUACAUAAAUAUAACUGGCUAAAGUAGACAAGUAGUAAUGCAUAAAGGUAAUUUAAAUUAAAGUGAGCAAAAGGAAAAAAAGAAAAAUGAUCGCGUACGUUGGCAUUUGGCAAAAUCAAAAUCCGUCUGGGAAACGCGUUUUGCUUUGCAGACUGUGGAGCUUAAAGUCCGGAUGUGCUGCACUGGCUGCGAGCGAGUUGUCAAAAACGCCAUUUACAAGCUUAGAGGUACAUAAUUAUAUAGAGCUACCUAGCUAUAGCAAAUUAGUUAUUAAAUCUUUAAAAUGUAUUGGGUAUGUAUGUGUUAAUAACUAUAUAUAUGUUGUACGCGCGUGUAUGUAUGCAUGUUAGGGGUUGAUUCAGUGGAGGUGGAGCUAGAGUUGGAAAAGGUGACGGCGGUGGGGUACGUUGAUCGGAAUAAGGUGCUCAAGGCGGUGAGGAGGGCAGGAAAGAGGGCUGAAUUUUGGCCUUACCCUAAUCCACCAUUGUACUUCACAUCUGCAAAUAAUUAUUUCAAAGACACAACAAAUGAAUUUAAGGAGAGUUACAACUAUUAUAGGCAUGGCUACAAUGUUGGGGACAAGCAUGGAACACUUCCCGUCACUCACCGAGGAGACGACAAAGUCAGCAACAUGUUCAACGACGAUAACGUUAAUGCUUGUUGCCUCAUGUAGGUAGCGUACGUAGCGAUGUGUUUAUUAAUUGUACGUGUAUGUUGUCAUACGUUAAUUAUUUCUCUUAACUAUUCGGUUAUGUAUGUAAAAUGUUAAUUAUUAUAUUUCAUAUAUGCGCAAUGUUUUUGAAGAGAAUAGUCUGUCAAUCAUAUAAUUGCAUUCUACAUGUACAUGUAUAUAGAUACACAGUGAGGUUAUGAUCGUAGACCUCUGGCUUUAUUAAAAUUAGGAUAAGUUAAAAUUAAAAAUUAAAAAAAAAAACAUGUGUAUCUUACAUGAUGAAAUACAUUAUAUUGGAGUCUGUAUUUUAUUUUAUUUUAUUUUUUUGUCUUUUAGCUCAUCUUAGACUUUAAUAUGAUCAGGAAAUCCUAACUGAAAAAUUAUUAUAUACAUCUCUCUCUGUGUGUGCGCACUUGUGAGUGUCCGGGUGUAUGUGUCAAUGCAAGAAUUUUCGUGCACUAGCAGGAGGCCAAAUCAAGUGAUCAGGAUCUUACGUUAAAUACUAGAGAUGGUAAAUGUAGGAAAUAUCUUUUUGCAUAUUUUUCUUUUAGUUGAUCUAAGUUUCUAUCACCUUAGUGAUAAAGUCUUUCAUAGUAGAAAUAGAUACGAAGAGCUGAGAAUCUCAUUAUAACGAGCUUUUGAAGUCACAAAGUAACAGUGAGCUCGAGGAGAUACUUUCCUAUUAGUUAGUCUUCCUUUUAUCCUCGAUCAUCUCUUCAAUUAUUGUUAGUGUUAUCUCUCGAAGUAUUGUUAAUCUUGUUGCCCCAAAAAUGAGAAUAUAAAAAAUAGUCACAGAGAGACAAUGGCGUGUCUACUUUGACGCUCAAGUCAACAAUAGGCCUCUUUAAGACAAAUAAGAAAUGUCUUGUUGAGCUUAAACAAGGAGUAGAGACGAGAAUAAGAGAAUAAGAGAAUGAUGAAUGUAUAUUAAGUGUUAAAGAGCUGGGAGAGAUAGGGAGGCCCCUCCCCAUUUCCAAGAUGGAGCCCACCUUAUGCAACCUACCAAAAAAAAGAAAAGAAUUUGGGAGUCGUUGGAUUUCAAUCCAACGGCUCAUCUAGAAUUUUUAGAUUGUAAUACAAUCUGAGAAUCCUGGAUCUGAUAAUUUCCAUAUAUGUACAUAUAUAAGAAAUGUUCUAAUCCAAAAUUUUAAAGUGCAGUAAAGUUUGAGAAAACGCAUAAACUAUGCAAUUUAUAUACUUUAAGUUUUAAGUCUCUUAAAUCUCAUAAUUUUAAAAUUUUUCCGCACUUUCUUGUUUUUUGAUUUGCAGAGAAAGUGAAAUAUUCAUAUGGCACAUAGCAUAUUCAUUCUACUUGGAUAGAGAACAAAAAUAUUCCCAUAUUAUAUUCCACAUUUUUUUAUCUAUAUCUCACCUCUAAGGAUGGUAAAAUUACAUGCAAAUUCAACCACUUUAGAUAUUUUUAGGAGUUGUAAGCAGGAUUGGUAUUUCAAAUUUAUACCUCACUGCGAGUUGGGAAUGAGUUUGAUAUUUAAAAAAAAAAAAAUCCAGUGGGUUGCCACAUACCACAUUCUUUUUUUUUAAUUUUAAUAAUAAAUAUUAUAUUAAAAAUUUUAAUCAUAAAUAUAUGUAAGUUGAAGUUAUUACUCACAUGAUCUAAUCUUCCUAAUUCUUAAACCUACCUAACCUAACUCAUUGCAGCUGCAUGUCCUGCUCCCUCUAGUUUGUAUUUGUGUGUGUGUGUGUUAGUGUUAAGAUAGUAAUGGUUGUUUAUUAAAAUUGUACUUUUAUUUAUUUAAUUAAUUGUUGACAGUAAUUAUUCAAAAUUUACUUGUUAAUAUUUUUAACAAUACUUGUAUUUUAUUAAAGGAUGGAGCAUAUAAAAGCAUUUUGUGCACUUAGACUUAUAUAUUUUAUGUAUUUGUUAUAAUGUUGAAAUUUUAAUUUUUUAUUUAUAUUAAUAAAAUAUAAAGCUGAGUAUUUUAUGCGGAUAUUUUUUUAGCUAUUGAUAUAAAUUUAUAUUUUUAAUUAUAUAAUUUAAAAUUUUAUGUAUUAUAAUUUUUUUUUAAUGUNNNNNNNNNNNNNUAUAUGUAUUAUAAUUUUUUUUUAAUAUUUAUGAUUUUAAACAUGGAAUUUUUUGUCAUUCUUAUGGUUUAGUAAUUGUUAAAAUCCGUAAGAGAUGAGUUUAGUAAUUUUAAUUUUUUAUUAGUGCGGUUUUAAUAAAGACAAAUUAGCAGUAGUUGGUAAUCCGUUGCUAUCCCGACUCAUCUCUUGGAUAUGUGUCCAAUUUUCAUCUGGUGCUGAGAUUUCUUAGUAAGAUUUGCUAUGAUUUCAUUUGAUGGAGGAAAAAGACAAAAAAAAAAAAACUCUUUCCAUGACCAUACAUGAGUAAUUGCUAAUGCUGUCAUUACCGUUCACCAGUGACAACUUUUUCAAAGAAAAAGUCUAGUAAGAUUAGUACUCUGACCUUUAAAUGUCGGUGGGCUGUACAGUAGCAUGCACAUUUUAGGAUAAUUAUAAUUCGUUGGGAUAUACUACACUCUUAGAAACCCAGGCCCAGCUGGCUGCCCCAUGCAACAACUCGGCCCCAGAGCCCAGCCUUUGAGGACAGUGGUCCGAAAUCCACAAUUUCGAAUCUCCAUAAAAUAUUGUGAGAUUUAUUUAUUUUUUAAAUAUAAAAAAUAAUUAAAUAAAGACAAAUUUUUUUUUUAAACGUGAGUGAAAUAGAUAUUUAUCAUAGGGAUGGUAAAAAGAGGACUUGAAUCGGGUUUUUUCAAGUCCAAGCCUACUUUAAGAUAGGGAUGGCAAUGGGGCAGAUAUGGGUUGGAUCUACUCUGCUCCAGAUCCAAAUACAUAAUGAAAAUCAAGAUCCGUAUCUGCUCCAGAUCCGUUAUGAAUCCAUAUUUUUCGCUCCAUAUCCAAAUCCAAAAAAGAAAUAAAUAUCUAUAUCUGCUCCAAAUCCGAAAAAAAAUUAUACUUUUACACCAAAACAACAAAUAAGAAAGAUAAUAAAAUAUCAUUCAGAAGUAAUUGCAGGAGUAAGAUCAAUAUAAUAUUAUAUUGUCUCUUUUAUCAUUCUAAUAUCCACGAUACACCUACCCUCAUUCCUCCAAGGCGGAUGUACGGUACAGCAGCUAAAAUCUCAUAAUUUUAAAAUUUGAAUUUCAUAGUAAUAGAAAUACAUGUCCUACCGAAACAAUGGUAAAUACUACUAAUAUGCUAUGAAUAAAAUUUAUUAUCAUUAUCAUUCCACAAUUAUUAAGAAACUUUUAAAAUAAAAUAAAAUUAAAAGAUGAGUGGAUAUGGAUAUGAAUUUAGAUAUUAAGAUAGAUCCAGAUCUGCUCCAGAUCCGUCUUAGAUCCGCACAUCGAUAUCCAAAUCCGAUCCAAAUCCAUUUUAAACCGAUCCAAAUUAGGGAUGGCAAUGAGGCAAAUAUGGGUUGGAUCUACUCUGCUCCAGAUCCAAAUCCAUAAUAAAAAUUAAGAUUCGUAUCUGCUCCAAAUCCGUCAUGAAUCCAUAUUUUUCGCUCCAUAUCUAGAUCCAAAAAAGAAAUAAAUAUCUAUAUCUGCUCCAAAUCCCAAAAAAAAAUUAAAAUCCAAAUCUGCUAUAGAUCCAUCAUGAAUUCUAAAAUUCAGUAAUAAAAAAGUAAUAAUUUUUUAGAUUGAAAAUUGAAUGCUAAAAUGUAUUGAUAGCAAAUAAAUUAUAUAUUUUUUUUCUCAAAAAUAUAAUAAAUAUUGUAUCUUAUACUUUUACACCAACACAACAAAUAAGAAAGAUAAUAAAAUAUUAUUAAGAAGUAAUUGCAAGAAUAAGAUCAAUCUAAUAUUUUAUUGUCUCAUUCAUCAUUAUAAUAUCCACGAAACACCUACCAUCAUCCUUACAACAUUAGAUAAUAACAUAUAAAUUAAAUAUGAUUUAUAUUCAGUCCUUUAUUAUUUUUAUUAUGACCAUAUUUGACUAAAUAUAUGAAUAACUAUAUUCCUUAAAAAUUAUUUGGCCAAUAUAAUAAAAUAAAUUGCCAGGUUAUAUUACUUGGCUUGCAAUUUGAAUAUUGUAUGUACAUGCUUUGGGGUUGGCUGACCUUUAAAUUUACAAAACUAACCUUUAAAUUUUAAGAGUUUAAAUGCAUGGUAAAUACUACUAAUAUGCUAUGAAUAAAAUUUAUUAUCAUUAUAAUUCCACAAUUGUUAAGAAAAUUUUAAAAUAAAAUAAAAUUAAAAUAUGAGUGGAUAUUGAUAUGGAUUUAGAUAUUAAGAUGGAUCUAGAUCUGCUCAAGAUCCGUCUUAGAUCCGCACAUCGAUAUCCAAAUCCGAUCCAAAUCCAUUUUAAACCGAUCCAAAUCUAAUCCAAUUGGAUUUGGAUCACGUGGAUCUUGGAUCAGAUACAAUCCAUUGCCAUCCCUAAUCCAAAUCCGAUCCGAUUGGAUUUGCAUCACGUGGAUCUUGGAUCAAAUCCAAUCUAUUGCCAUCCCUACUUUAAGAUAAGCAUGAAGGUCGGGCCUGGCUAGGCCCAUUGCGGGCUUGCCCGGACUUGGACUUUAUUUACUUUUUUAAAUUAUUAUAAAUUUGAAAUAAAUUAAUGAUCAACAAGUUGUUAUAAUCAUAAAUAAAUUUAAAAAAUAAGUAUUUCAAAAUAAAAUAAUAAAUAAAGCAAAUAAAAGCUUAGAAAUUUAAUUUUUUUUAAUACUGGAUUCUCUAAUUCAAACACUCUCUUCAUUAAUUAACGCACAAGAAAGAGUUUAGUAUCAUAAUUUUAACUUUUUUGAAUAAUCAUUGAUUUAUAAAUUUAGAAUUUAAGUUUUUUUUUAAGUUACUUUUCAAUUUUAAUUAUAUUAUUCUAAUUUAUAAAUUUAUUUUUUUAAAAUAAUGUGUCUGUCCUAACGCGGACUUUUUUUCUUGAGCCGUUUGUCCAUGCUCUCAUGUGGUGUUUGUAUAAAUUUUGUGAUUACACCUUUUAGUUUUGAACUCUAGUCAUAGUGUCAUCAUGUUGUGAAUUGUUUAACUUGUUAACUACCAUUUUAAUUCCUAGAAAGUGGUUAAAUCUUCACUUGCUUUCAUUGUUAUUAUCCAGCAUGUGCUGAUAAAAUUAGCUUUGGGCCAACUGAAAUUUGUUAUUAGUCGAUACCGCACUUAAGACUUCCCCAAGCUCAAUAGUGUGACAGGAUAAUGUGUGUCAUCAAUGAAACUAGCGAUUCCAGGCAAUGAAAAUGAAGCUGAUGACAGUUGUGCAUGGUUGGAAGAGGCAAAAGAGUUCGCCUGCUACUUUUAGCAAGAAAGCGCUGGUGUCUUCUCCUUUAAGAAGAAAUGAAGGCAUUAAGAUCGGUGAUGAUGUCACCCGGCAUUGAGUUGCUCUCACGACGUUGGCCUUAUCUUUCGAAUUUGAUAUUCUUAGUUGAAAAGAUAAUUAAUCUUUACUUUCUGAAAAUACAAGUUGUAAAUUAUUGGAAAAGCCUUGAGAGAAGGUCAAACUGUGGAAGAAAUGCACCCUCAACCUUUGCUGAAUGGGAAAUUGCAGCCUGAUGCUCAGGCUAGUUGUAUACCGUGUUUAUGAUGAAUAGAGAAUGUUUUGUUUGCACAGAUGCACUGAUGAGCUAGACAAAAAGUAAGAUUAAUCUCUUUAUUAAUGUGACCUUUCCUGAGUCCCCUUGUUGGUCUCGUAUGUGUAGAAUUGCUGGUUAGUUUAUGGAACCUAAGGCCAUAUUACCAUGCCUUUCACCAGUCAUACACUUCAUGCUCGCAGUGGUUCGUCAGCAGAAAUAGCUUAUUAAGGGCUUGAUUAUGUAAUUUGGACAGUCUAGGUUGUCGACAAGAAAAUAUCCGCAAGAUUUUGGCAGUGAUAUUGUUAUAUGCUUUCGUGUGUGGCAAGAAGUCGAAGAACCAAAAUUAUACAGGCUGUCUAUAAACAAGUGAAACGCCAUUGACCAUUUUUUUUUUUUUGGGAUAAAUCAUGAUCAUCCUCGUGUUAUUAAUUAGGUUUCGACAUUCAAGUUAUGGGAGUUUUUGAAAUUGCACUGUCUUAAGCAUACGCAUGCAGCCUUGUUGAUCCAGGUGACAUCUCAUCACAAGUCUUUAUGAAUGGAUGGAUGAAUGCUCAGAAGAAUGUGAAGAGCCCAACCAACUUGCCAAUAUCUAAGGCAACGCAAACCACUACCUAAUUCAUGGCCUGUGUGUGCCUUGGAUAUUGGCACUCAUUUGUAAACCCCUUUCUUUGUAUAUUUACGUUUAAAUCUUUCCACAUCCCAUGUGAUUGUAAAUUUUAUCCUGACAGUUCAUCUCUUAAUUUGUUCUUUCUUUCUAUAACCCCACUUCAACACUUUAGGUAUUGGUUCAAAUAAGAUUUCCAACAGUUACCUCUAAAAACUGAAAAUUUGAUUGCUAUUAGUUGCAAUUUUGAAACCUAAAUUCACUGUCAUAGUGUCAUGGUGGACAAAAUUAUAUACGUAGAAUAUUUGUGAAUGAUUUUCUUUUAUCUUCGCCCUUACCAUGGAUCAUGAAUCCCUUCAUGUUUACUGAUGAUGGGGGAAAAAAAAGGGGUAAAUUAAAAGUGAUAAAAGGGGGCUUUUGUUUGUUUAAGAAAUAUGCUAACUUUCUGUUUAUUGACUGUAAUUAUCGCUACAUAUGGGCUUCUUCUUCUCUAUUAUUAAGGUGGCCAUUUGUCUAGAGGGCUAGCGAUGGAUUUUGUGCGCGAGAGUGGUAGUGAUAAAAAGUUUAUGGGUUUCAAAAGUGUAGGAGAGGGGCGCCAAUAGUAGCACUCUUGGAUUAAACUCGAUAAGAGCUGGGCCGGAAGGGGACAUUGAAGAGAGAAACUGGCCCAACUAAAACAGGGCGAAAUGUGAAAAAGGCCAACGGACUAAAAUUUGUCGUCAUCUUUAAUAUGGUAUCCAUGGCAUGUGCAAUGCACAUGAAGUAGAAGGAAUACAGAAGAAUAAGCCGAAAAGGUAAUUGAAUUGAAUAUCAGUUUUAUCUGGUGAUGGAGAAGCAGUAGUAAGAUACGUGCUAAUCAAUUAAAAGGGAAACACAACACGCAAAGGGUAUUGAAUAGGCAAUUGGAAGUACAAGGGACAAGGCAUGUAAACUUAUUAUUCAAUUUCAACCCCAAGAGCUUAAAGUGACCAUUCAUCAAGUGGCAGUGGGGGACCUGACCCCCAUGCGUAAUUUGUUUGGUAUCCCAUUUAUGAGAAGCCCCCGCAAGCCUACUUAGAUAUAUGUGUGUAUUAUUUUAUAUGCUCAUAUAAGUAAAUGGACAACAAUUUUGAAAAAUCAACAUGCAUGUCUUUGUCAUAUUUGAGAUACUGCUGCCAAACCCACAAUCUAAUUUAGCUGUAAUCGUCAAAAGUGCCGAACACUACUCUCGUCUCGCUCUCUUUCUCUAUGGUCCAUCCACAACACUGCCUUCCUUUGCCCUGUCAUUGUUAAUUUGUUGAUGUAUUGUUGGCUUUAUCAACGACGACACAGACAGUGAUAACAAUAACAACAACAAUAAUAAUAAUUAAUAAAUCAAGUAACAUAUUAAGUAUGAAACGAAUAGAAGUGUCAGCUUUUUCACUCGUCUCUUUCCAUCUUCUGCUGCUGCUGCUGCUGCUGCUUUAGGCCAGCAACACAAUUAAUGACGAAACCUAAAAGGUUAAAGGGCUUCCCAUUGGAAUAAUGAAUGAAUAAAUAAAUAAAUGAAAUUGGAAUUUCGGUGAAUGAGUAGAGAAUGAGCAGAAAUGAGCAGAAUGUGCGCGGGUGGCGCAGGGCAGCUUCGUGAUAUGGGGGAAAACAUGGAAUGUUGAUCAAUAAAUUUGGGUAACAGAGACAGAGAGCAUGCCACUUGCCUUAAUUUCCCUACUCGUACGUUUUCCUUUUUUUCUUUCAACUCUUGAUUAGCUUUCACCAUCGAAAAAGUUCUACUAUAUACAAUACAUAUCAGCAGCUAAAAAAGCAACAUGUGAUGCGCGCGCGCAUACCUAAUAUUUUUAUUUUAUUAAAAUAAAGAUAUUAUUAAAAUAUAAAAAUAUAUUUAAAGACAUUCAAAAUUGUAUUUUUCAUUUAUUAGUAUAUUAAGAUUUAUAUUUUUUAAUCUAUUAGUAAUAUCUUCAUUUUGUAAAAAUAAAAGACGUCUUUAUUAAGAAAUUAUUACUAUCAUAUAUGUAUAUGUUUAUAGGUAUGUAAGUUUUUAUGUGGAUAUGGACCAAAAAGCAAAAGCAAGGUGGGAGGGGCAUCAGCAUCAAUAUUAAUUAAAAUUCACGGGAAUGUACUAGCAGCAGCCAGUGUAAUUCAAAAUCGCUUUUGCUAUUGCUGCGUCAAUAAUAAGAGAGCGGAGAGCUAGCUACCGAAGAAAGAAGGAACAAACAAAAUAACCAAAUAAAACGUACGUGGUCCAUGCAAUUUCUUCUAGGAAGGAGUGGAGAAUGGAGUCGUGGUGGAGUGGGAUUCAAUUGCAUUUGCACGCGUCUUCUGCUGCUGCUCUAUUCACACACACUUGCGACAAAUUAAGCUUUACCACCUUUUUCUUUUCUUUUCAAUAGACAUAUUCAUUUUCAAAUAAUAUAUAUACAUAUAUUUUAUUGUCGUCAUUCAUUACGCCUACAUAUAAACCCUAAACCUGGCUAGCUAGAGUGGGGACGACUCUUCUCUCUCUCGCUCUCUGUGUGCGUGCGUGUUGAGGGUUUUUCCGCCUUCCUGUUCAUUAAAAUAUCCUAAAUAUUUAUUGACUAGUCGCAAGGCAGCUGCCUUUGCGUUGCCAUAAAAUUAAAGGAUAUAGCUAGCCUCUGGCACAUGAAUGUGAUAUACUGCCGCAUAAUACUCCGGUGUGCUUUGAGGAAAAACAGUUGAAAGAAAGACGAAGAGAUUAAUUAGAGAUCGUGAGCAGAUUCUAAAUGAGAAAGCCAAAGUUAAGGUGAUAGCUGCAAGCACAUACGUAAUUAAGCAAAUACAAAAUUAAUUAAUAAUUACUGAUCCAUAAAAAUAUAAUUCAACAGCUCGCUCUUUUUCUAGCUAGCAGCUGCCCAACGCAAAGUACAAAUAAAGUAGAUUGAUGCAGCUAGCGACUAGAUGCAUGCAUAGAGUCGCGUAAUAGUAUCUAUAGUUCUAUACCGCUAUGUGUGUGUAUGUAUGUGUAUAUAUAUAUAUAUAUAUAUAAAGUCUUUUCGCAGAGAAUAGGUGGGCCACAUACUUAGUGAUAAUGAUCGAUGGUCCUGAAUGCAUGCAUUUAGAUGCACAGUCAUGAUCUAUACACAUGUAUGUAUGUUUGUGUGAAUGGUGGUGAUAAUGAUUUAUGAACCCGACCUCACUCUACUAUACCAGCUAGAUAGACUGAUAAGUACCUAUAUAUAUCUUUAUCUAUUUCAAUUUAAAUUAAUUUUGAGAGAAACUAGACGGCGUAAACAAACACAGUGGGUUGUCCUUGAAAAGCUUGACAGCAGCCUAACAACAAUUUAAUUUGCUUACUCUGGUAAAAUCCUCACUGCCCUACUCUCCCUCUUUGACAAUUUUACUCUCUUUUUUAAUAUUAUUAUUCUUCUGUACUAAUUACCAUGCGUAUAUUUAAUAUUCUGUGCCAACCACCAUUAUACCUUUGUAAUUUUGUGGCUCACAAGUGGUCUAAAUUCACAUUUUACACAAACUAAAUUGUUGUAUUUGGUCUAAAAGAAGCUCCUGCGGAGCUCACGUAGGACUUUUUUUUUUUUUUAAUCUUGUGAUGCUUAUUUGUCUCUUUAAUGAAUAGUUAUUUUCAUUCUUUGAAUGGCUCAUAGUACGUAGAAACCUUCUGCUGUACCGUACAUNNNNNNNNNNGCAGCCUUUUUUCACAAAGAAAAGACCCAUAAGAUAAUAUUAUGUUUUUGGUUCUAAGUUUUUCAAUCCGGGUUUAGAAUUCGUGAUUAAAGUCCGAAAUAGAUUUAUGAUGCCCUGAAGUAACUUUUACGACAUUAUAAAUUGAGUUGCGACACUAUAAAUUUGUUCCAAAUUUUAAUCUUAGAUUCUAAGCACGAAUAUAAUAAGCGCUUAUGUAUAUAGCAUAAGAUACAAUAAAUCAAAGAAGAAAGUCUACAUAGGACGUUAAUAAUUAUGUGGGACAGUCAAAAAAAAAAAAAAAACUCUGUGUUUUGGGUUUUGCUCUCCUGAUUAUCGAUCAACCGCACUUAGAAGUGUCUAUUCAAAGUUUAUUGAAUGGGCUUAUGGAUGACGUGGUAUAUAUUUCUUAAAAUUAAGAUUUUUUAAAAUUAACCAAGAAGAAUUAAUUGUGCUUAUUCACCUUUUUUUUCAUAUGUAUAUUCAAUUUAUUGAUAUUUCCACCCAUUAUCUAUUAUGAUCACCUUUAAAACAAUUUUAUUAUGACGAAGUUUAAAUUUUUGCCCUCACAUAUAUCAUAAGGAUAUCUACUCCACUCUAUGAGUAAAGAAAGAUAUCUAUUUUUAUCUAUUUUUUUUAAUUAGAAUUGAGUCGAUACUCUCACCAAAGUGAUCAGGACAUAUUUUUAGGUAUUUAAGAGGAUCUCUAUGUCGGGUGCCGCAAUUCAAACUUAAUGAGAUUAUUUUGUCAUGACUUGUUUAGCUUUAGUGCUUUCAUAGCAUAUCUUCUCAAUGUAGAAAAAAAAUUGUUCUAUAGUGAGCUUUUUUCAAGUCACUUAAUAACUGUUAGACUCUCACCUUAUAUGUAAAUAACUGUUAUUGGAGAUUAAUUUUAUAUAUAUAUAUAUAUUUGGAAAUGGAGAUUAAUUAACUGUUGCGGUUUAAAGCUUACCUUCUUUUGUUUUGUUGUAUAUUUUUUUACUCCAUUUUAAGCAUGCUUUGGGUGAAAUGUACAUUUAAUGCCCGGUGAUCGGAACUGUAUUGAGAUUGAUAAUUACCUUUGCAAUUUGCACUAGACCUCCAUUCUAGAGCAAAUACAUGAUGAAAUUGAAGACAAACAUUCUUCUGUCAGAACUGAGAAGAAUCACAAGAAAUUUAAGAAUGGGCAAGAAUUUAAAAUAAAUAAAUAAAUGCAAAUUGCCAUCUAUACUUGAGCAAAGAUUAGGCAAAUUAAUCUCUUUUUGUGGAAGGAUUGCGUAUCCCGAACUCUGUCGUGAUUCUUUUCCUUUUGGUCCUCCAUUUUUGUGAUUAUUUUCAAAUCUUUUCUGGAAUAUAUGACACAGAACAAACUCCUAUAGACAAAAGUUUCAUGUAAUCAAAAAGCCACAACUUCCAAAUACACCACAUAAGGUUAGGGGGUUUAAGAACAUUUCCCACAAUGUUAUAUGUGCAUACUAGUUUAUUUUUUAUAAAAACCCCCCCCCCCCCCCCCUACAUCGAUAUCCAUGGCGAGCUAACUAUCUUUAAGAGCGGCCGGUUUUGGCAAGAGAUUCAUCAAUUAAUUACAGCAAAUUAAUCCUCAGGUUACAAUAAAAAAAAUUUAUAUGAUGGUGAUCAUGCGGUAUGCACGAAAGAACUUAAUCUAGCCAUUAUCAUAUAAUUUCUUGAGAAAUACCGUUGCUUUUUAUAAGAAGGCUGAUGAAUGAUGGAUAUUCUAAAUAUGAAUCUUACCAAUUAAGGUCCUAUUUGAUAUUGAGGUGUUGUACCUUUUAACUUAUAGUUGCUGUGGAAAAAAAAAACUAUAACUAUUAAACAAAAAUUAAUAGUAUGUAAUAAAUAUAAAUUUUGAAUUAUAAUUUUGACAAAAUUAUUAAAGAUAUUAUAGAUUUUCCACCGUACAACUGAAAAAUCAUAUUAACAUACCUUCCAAGAUAUAGCAACUAUUGUUUAUCAAAUAUUUUAGUACUGUAACUUUUAAGCUACAACCACACAAUCUCAAUCCCAAACGGACCCUAAUUAACAUAAACAAAUGCAAAUAGCUAAUGAAAUUCAAUUUAAAAUAAACCAAAUAAUUCCUUCUUAGAUAACGACCCAUUUAUAUUAAGUUAAAUAUGUAUCCUCUCUGAAUAUAUAUAGGCAGUGUUUCGAGCUAGUUAACUACAAUGAUCAGUUAGGACAUGAAAACCCAGUUAACUAACUCUAAAAAAAUAUAAAUAUGUAGAUUGCAUAAAAAUAUCUAAAAUUUAAACCUUGCGAUCUUUCUUUCUUAUGGCUAGUGUGCACACUGUGAGAAAUGUCUUUAUUGAUCAAUAACAUGCUUGCUUUUUUUGAACCCGUAUAUGGUCGGAAAUUAUGAGAAAGAUCAUGACAACUUAAAAAGUGUUGAAUGUGAAUGCCUUCAUGUCUCGCUUUUUAGUUCCUAGUCACCCUCCAAUAUCACCCAAUUCCAUACAUGAAUCGAAACAUUAAUGUAAUGGAUGUUAGAUGAUGAAGUAACUUAAUUUAAUUAACAGACACUACGGAGCCUAUGCUGAAUGCAUCUAAAUUGGAAGUCAAAGGUUUAGGGUAAAUUAUCAAAGAGAAAAAAAGAAAAGUUCAUCAGGUAAUGGUUCAGUCAGUUUUCUUUGGGGCAGCUUUCUAAUGCAUUUCUGCAAAUUAUUUUGAUGCCUCAGAUAAUUUCUUCAGGGCAUGCAUUUGACCAGAAAACAAGGAGAAUUUGGAUGAAACAGGAGAAAAAAAAAGGUGAAAAUUAAAAUAACUUUGUGUACAGAAAUGAAGGCACUCACUAUAUAUAAUACCUUCAAGCAAAGCAAGGCAUGAUUUCAACAUGUAUAUUUCUACCAAAAGGGAUGUGAUGAGAAACAGAUGUACUUAUACUCCUCUUUAAUUAAUAUGAAUGAAAUUACAUUUAGUUAUAAGAUUCUAUGCCACUUUAAGGAUUGCAAGAAAACUAAACCAUCUAGUUCGCAAGACAUUAUAAACCAAUAAACAUUAGAAAGAAAAAAAUCACCUUACAAUAGCAUGCUACAAGGAAAACAAUUUUUCGGGGAAAAAAUGGUAACGUUAAUAGUUGGCUAAAAUAAUAUUCUCUUGAUGAAUUCAGGAGGGAUAGACAUGCAUUCAAGGGGGAAGGGAUGCAUCCAAUCCAAAAUAGUAGUAGUAACUCUAUAUUUGUCAAUUUAUACGCCUCAAUGAGGUUACUAGUUGGACUUUAUUUGCAAAGAGUUUUAUAAAGGACUUAAAUAGUUGGCUAAAAUAAUUGAGGUAGAAACUAAAUUCGAUCAUGAACAACUAGUGCUCACUUUUUUAGAAACAAAAGGAAUAGGGUGGAAAUACAGUAGCUAGCAACAGCAUUGUUAUUGAUCAAUUAAUUAUAUAUUAGGGCUGAGAAAACUAAAGAGAAACAAGGGGAACAUUCUAUGUAAUAGCAGUAGCUAUAUAGCAAUUGCUUUCCUAUGAAUUAAACUGUGCAGUGCACUGCGUGCAAUGAAUUGAAUGGAGAAACCGGAGGCUGCUGAUUAAUAAUUAAUAAUCAGAAUUAAUGCACAUGUGUAUAACAUAUAUACAUAUAGAGAGAGAGAGCGAGAGAGAGAGAGAGAUUGAUGCUAAACAAGGGAAGCAAAAAGAGUUCAAAGAAAUCAAGAUAAAUGUUACCUUUUAGAAGUCUGAAAAAUUGUCUGCAAAAACCUGGGAGUGUGCCCAAGGAAGCAGCGACAAGAACAACAACCUACCAAAAUAAAGACAAAAGAGAGCUAAAAACUUCAAUAAUAUCUCACGUACCUAGCAUACUGUACAAAGUUAAUUACUGAGGCAGGAAAGCUUGUUAUUACUGGGCUGGCAAGUGUAACAGGAAGAAAGAGCCAAAAACAGCAGAGAAUAAUUAAAUUAAAACUCAUUCAUUCACUGAGAAAAACCAUGGAGAAGCCACCACAGAUUAUUGGAGAAGCCACUACACUACCAGCCCUUUAAAAGGCAAACAUUCUAUAUAUUUAUAUAUAUAUACACAUAUAUGCAUGCCAUUAUAUUCUAUUUCUCAUAAACAAAUUAAUAUUGUUUACUUUCUAACCUCUAUACACUAUAUAGAAUCAAAUGAUCACAAAAGUAAGUUAACUAAAGGAUAUACAUAUAUAGAAGACAUAAGUGCUGCCUGAUAGUCAGUCUAGCAUGCACAUAAUCUUUAUUUGAGAUAAAAUAUUCAGAAACACCAACACUUGAACCUGCUGCAGCUGCAUGCAUUAUAUUCCCCCUUGGGGAUGGAUCUCUGAUACCCAAUUUGAUCACCAAUAUUUUUCUUUAUUAUUAUUAAGUAUAGAUGGAGAUGAAGACAGCACCAUUAAUAUUGUGAAGACUGUAUCAAUGUAAAACCAUAUAUAAUCUAAUUGCGUAAAUAUAUAUUAAGAAAAAGAAAUUAAGAUGAAAAAAAGAGAGGUGAUGAUUAGCCAAGCUAGCUGUCUUGAGCCUUGACAGAUGAUUUCUUCUUCUCCGGCAGCUAGCAGCUAGCAGCUAGCAGCUAGCUAUAUACCGGAUCAAUCAAAGGACAUGGAAGCCUUGCCUUUGUUGAGGAAGUCGAAAGGAGGAAGCAGUGGAGUAGCAUCGUAGAGACUUAAUUGUGAUGAUGAAGAAAGUUGAGAGGGCUGAUCAUGAAUUGCCAUUGUAGCAUGUUGGAUACUUGUUGACGAGGACAAUAUGUGACAUUCAUCAUCCGACUCCGUUAUGGGGCAGUCCAUGUUCACACCAAAUAGUCUCAAUCUCUUUGCCGUCGCCUUUCCUUGGACCACCGGCACCGAAUCAAACACGAUUGGAUGCUGCUGCCACUUCGUCAUUCCUAUCUCCGUAUGUGGUGGUGGUGGUGGUGGUGGUGGUUGUUGUGUGGCCGGCGCUGCUGGUAAUUGUGAUCUCAAGUACAAAAUAGACCCCAGUGUACGAGGGCUUAGCACAUUAUUAUCAUUACCAGUACCACCAAGGCUGAUGCUGUUACGGUUAUAAAAGUUAUUGUUGAUUUGUGAUUGUGAGUACAUGGACGCCGGCAGUACUGGUGGCCUCAUCAUCAGCAAAGGAUUCCAAGGAAUGGACCGGUAAAAUGGCAGGUGGCGAGAAAACGAAGCAGCAGCAGCAGCAGGAGGAUGGGAUCUUCUCCUCCAGUCAAUGAAAAGACGACCUUUAGCCAAAUCACCAACACCCCUAUGAAAGGAAACAACGUCACCGGCAUCAAGUUUCUUGUCCUUGACAAAGCGGCUCCAGCCUUUGGUCAUGACGUAGCUUUGGCUGCUGUUCCAGUAAGAGUAGCGGAACCUCCAUGGCUUUCCAUUUCGAUCCUCGAAAUUCAAGAGAAGGCCUUUCUCGUUCGAGGAAGAGUCUAAUGGGAAGUACUUUUCUGCGUGUUGCUUUGGAAUGACUAAACGAUUCAGCUUACCCACAUCGCUUGGUGUUACAACUUUGUCAAACAUGUGUUCCUUCUCCAAGCUAAUAAGAACACGAUCUUCUUCUGCUUCUCCUUCUCCAAUAAUAUCCUUCGUCUCCUGCAUGAUGAUGGCCUGCUCUUCUGUUGGUGCUGCAGCUUCUUCUUCGUUUGAGACAUCUUCUAAUUCGGCGGCUGUCGUUGUUGUGGUUGUUUUGCCUAAUAGCCAAGAACCCAUUUGUGGUUGUUGUUGUUUGUUGUAAUUUUGAUGAUGAGUGGUAAGAGGAAGCAGCUGCUGGGUCUGGGUUGUGUAGUGGUGGUGGUGAGAAGAUGCAGAUGAUGGAGAGGAGGAAGAAUUAGACGCGUAUGUAGUACUGAAAUGAAGCUUCACGGCUUGGUUGCUACCAGUGUUGCUAAUAAUAUUACCCAUCUCAUAAUCAAUUCCAAUCAUCUCAUCUUCUUCAGAAAUUAACCUUUCUCUGUUUGAGUAUGAGUUUGACGACGACCCAAACUCCAUCGAUUGUUAAUUAAUUAAAAUCAAAAUGCAUCUAGAUCACUACCCAUACAACAAAUCAAGAUGGAUGACACGAAGAUCAUCAACCCCCUACCCCACAACUAAUAUACUAAUAACAUGCUUCUUCAAUUCCUUACAAACAAGGCAGCAGAUAUCAAAUUAAAGAAACAAAUUUGUGAAACAAGCGGCAGCGACCAGUGCUGCUACUUGUAUGACUUUUCUUUAUAGCAAACUAUAUAUUCUGUGUGUCCAUAGAGAGGGUGGGUUGAAGGUUUUUAAUUAUUAAGAAGACUCAGACGCAUGAGAUGGGCCUCCAUGGACAUUUCAAACUAACAGUACUACUGCAACUUCCUCUUCUUGUUGUUGACCUUGACAACCAAAAAAAUUACAAAAAGUGAGAAUGGAGAAAUUAUAUAUACACAUACAUACACACACACACACACACACACACACACAUGUAAAAGCAAGCAAAGCAAAGCAAAACCUGAUUUUUUCUUAAUUUCUUACAGGGCGAUGGUGCCUAGCUCCCUGAAGGUUCACUAGUUAGGCCCAGUUGAAUUAUUAUUAUUAUUUUUUUUUUCUUUUGUAAACAAUUAAUUGUACUAAAUUAAUACUAACAGAGAAAGAGAGAGAGAGAGCUAAGAGAUAUGAAUGAAGAUCGUAACUGGGAGGGUACUGAGUGAGUUUAUACAUACGUAGGGGUAGGGACCCCCAAGUAUUAUCUGCUUGGGCUCAUGUGAGCUUGUCAUUGUCUUCAUCCUGGGUACUGUUUCACACAUUUUAUUUAUUUCUUUAUUUCUCUUCUCUGAUAAGGCCCCUCUAAGUCUAAGGCCUAAGCCAGCUGUUUUCUCCACCGAGAGCUUCAUUCUCCACUUUUCUUUUUUUAUUUAAUUCUAUUUUCUUUUCUUUUUCAAUUAAUAUUGCUCCUCUCCCUAAUAAUAAUAAUAAUAAUAAUCAUCAUCACUAUAAAAACAGUUUUCAAUUUAUUUUCAGAAAACAAAAUUUAAAAUAUAUAUAUAUAGAAAGUGAAGAAUCAAUCUAACUCAGGUUAGGGUUUUGACUCGUUCUCAUUAAAUUCGUACGGACCACUCUCUACUGCGGUGGUGGUGGGCGCACAACUAGAUGGUAAUUAAUUGAUUGAUGAAUAAUAAAAUAAUUAACUUUAGAGUUAUUAGAUAGAUAAAAUGUCUCGCUUAAUUAAGUUCAUUCAAUUUAAUUCAUCAAUAAAAAGGUCUCGAUGUCUUCCCACAUGUCAUAUAACAACAACAUUAUAUAGAUCGUUAAAUAUAAGGUCCAAUAUCAAUUUAAUUAAUCUCAUCUUAGUUAUGUAAUAACCAUCACCUAUCACUUUGUUAUUGAUAAUUCACUCAAUUAUUUGUUUUUAAUUUUAGUACCACCGUGAGCUGCGUGACUAUGUCCCUAUUUAUCUCUUUAUAUAUGUGUGUGAGUGUAUUAUAUUAGAUCAAAUGGGAUUUUCAAAGAAAUAUAAAAUAAUAACACUAAUCACAAGUUGUCAUUAGUUGACUGUUAAUUAACUUUUUUCUGCUGAUUAGUCUUUUUUAAUAUACGCACACAUCCACACACACACACACAUAUUUUUUAGGAUCAAGACUAACAAAAAAAGAAAAAGAAAACCCCACAAAUUUGCGGACAUUAAAAUAUAAAAAAAAUAAUACAUUAAAAUCUUUAUUUUUAUUUUUUUGUCUUUUAAUUUCAUCUGUACAAAAUUAAUGUUUUAAUAUCUGCACUUAAGAAUUUCUAUACAUAAAACCAAAAAAAAAAAAAAAAGGGCUGCAGAGUGAUUUAUUUGAAUGUUAACUGAGAAAUGGCAUGUACAUAUGAUUCCAAGCAUCCAAUCAUUUCAAAGUCAAAACGUGUAGAGGAAAACCCAUCCUCCAGAUUUGCUGCCUAAAUCCUAUCCAGCUAUUUGCAAAUGCCCUGUAUUAGUUAUUAUUAUUUAUAUGGUGAUUAAAAAAGGGACCCAUUCAUACAUAUAAUAAUAAUCACAUGAUUAAUUCAAAACAGUGACAUUUCAUUCUGAUUAAUUAGUGGAGGAGGGAGAAAGCAAUUGCAUUGGACAUUAAUUUUGAAUCUUGUAAAUGCUAUGCUAGCUUUACCUGUCUUGAUGUUCGUGAGAGCAUACCCUUUGAAUUGGUUCAAUUUAAGAUUGUUGUUAACAUAUAAAAAUGUCCAAAAUGGUGGGAUUCGGGAGACAGACAUGACAAUUAUUAUUUUACAAUUAUUACCGGGCAAAUUUGCUUUCAAGUCAUUAACAUUAAGCCAGCUUUCGUCAUCUGACCUGGAUAGGAUGACGUUUGCAUUUAUUGAACUAAUCAACAAAGGGAAUCACGCAAUUACAACAUUAAUUACCGUUGAUUAUUAUUAAUUCAUUAUUAUGUUUUUCUGAUUCUUUUCUUCUUUUUCUUUUUCUGACUUGCCAAACAACCCAACUUGCAAACCCACGUAUUCCUCCUAUCCAAUCAAUGAGAAAAGCCCACUUGUUCCAGCCCACGGAUAAUAUUUCCAUUAAACCAACAAUUACAAGUUUACAUCCCGCAAGUGGUGAAGUUUAUAAUUAAUUAAGGGAAUAAUUAAUAGUUACGUUUAUGGUUUUUUAAAAAGAAUUAGGAUUCUCUUCUUAUCUGAUCUUCAUCUGAGCAAAUUUUAUUGAUAUAAUUGGUGGUUAAUAAAUUAAAAAAUAAUAAUAAUUAAAUCUUAAUCAUCCACUAACACUAAAAUACAUGUAGUACAAUAUCUGUAAAAAAUCAAGAAUACUCAGAUCAGGAGAGGUGAAUUAAUCCUAAAUUAUCCGCAUUUGGUCCUUGCCUAGUUAGAACAAAUAAUGUUGACUGGGAUCUUUUGUGUAUAUAUACCAUUAAUCAUGUUGCAUUGGGGAUUUCUUAAAUUAAUAUUUUUUUCUGAAAAAAAAAAAGAACCCAGUAGUAUACUUGACCAGACCGACAUGACCCAAGAGCUCCAUUAAUUAAUCUCGUGUCUCAACUUGCAAAAAGAAAAAGUUCUCCAAUGACAUCCGCAAGUAGAAUUAAUUAAUUAAUAAUAAUUAUAAUUAUUAUUAUUAUUAUCAUGAAGAUAGCCACCAUUUCUUUUUAAUGUUUCGCUUUUCUACCAUGCAUGCAAUAACUGAUACGAAUCGUUUGUAAAAUACUCAAUUGAGUGAAAAUUUAAUAAUUUAAAAUGGCAUAUCUAUCUAUCAAUCACCCUCUCACAAGUUGUGGAGGAAGUGGGGGAAUAUUAGUGGGGGAGCCCAGCAAUAAUUUGUAUUAUUAUUAUUAUUAUUAUUAUUAUUAUUAUUAUUAUCAUCAUUAUCAUUAUUGUUUAUUAAAAAAUGGGGGCAGGUGAAGACAGGCAUAGCAUCGGCAGCGUUUCCGAUUCUGAAUCCGAAGAUUGGACAAUAAUUAUUACUUCUACCUGGCAUGUAGCCAAAUACAUAAUAAUAAUAAUAAUAAUAAUAAAAAGAAGUGACUCUACCGCCAAAUCUAGCUCGGACUUUGUUGGAAUUUAAAUUUCGAUGGAAAUUAAAUUCUAACUAAAGAGAGUUUACUAACCAAUGGAAAGAGCAAGGGAAAUCAAAUUCCUUUUACAGUUCAUGCCAACCGAACAUGGCCUAAAGUCUAAGAGAGAGAGAAAUUAUCAAUGAUCUUGAUAAGUAUGCAGCACUAAUUCUAAUGAAUGGUUUCCACUUUCCAAAACCUAAACUUAGAUAACAUUUGUCUUUUUUUUUUUUUUUUAAAAAAAAAAAAAAUUUUGAAUUUUUUUAAAGUUUAGCAGAAUAAAUUUUGAAUUUUAUUAAAGUUUGGGUCUGAAUAUAAAUAUCUAUCGCAUAUAAUUGUUUAUCGUCUUUUAAUAUUUUAAUAAAAAUUAUAUCAUAUUUAUUUUUAUAAAUAAAAAUCUUAAAUAUUGGUAUUUGACAUUUAUAUCAUAAUAAAUCAAAAUGUAUAAAAAGGGAGUAAAUUUUAUCAUUUGGAAAAUAGAUAUAUUUAAUAGAGACAUUUAAAAAAAAUUAUUUCUCAUUCGGGCUUUUUUUUUUUUACAUUCAGAAACAAACUCUCACUUUUAAUUAUCUAAUGAAUAAGAUGAAUGCAUUACAAACUGUGUAAAGGCGUAUCACCAGCUAGAGUUAAGACUCAUAAAGAAAAUCAAUUGCAUACAUACAUAAGCAAUAAUGUAGGGUGAUGGGGGGUUCAGAACGAGACUUAUGAUGUCUAGCCAAUUGAAGUUAUUAAUGGUCCCUACAUCGAUAUAUAUGUGUAUAUCGAUCGAGCAAAGACGAGAUAUGGUAAACAGAAUGUCAAAUACGGCAUUGGAAACGUAUUAACUAAAUUAAAGUGUGUGUUUCUCUUUUUUUUUUUUAAAUUUUAAAAUUUUCCCUGGCCAAUGCGUUCCUAAAUCCUAAUGGGUGGUUCUCAAAUCUCAAAGGACAAGAAGCAACAGAAACGAAAAGAAGAAAGGGCAUGGUUGCAGUUUGGUGAGCACAAUGUUGGAGAGGAGAGGCUGCGGCUAGGUAGAGGACCACGUGCCCUUUGAAAUGGAAGCUCACAAUAUUGGACCCCCAUUGAUUAAGAUAUAGCACAGUUGACACCACACCCUCUACCGUCCAGUUGGCUUUGGCGCCUAUCCUAUCGUUUGUUUUAUGUUAUAUAUGGGAGUUGGGACUUGGGAGUGUCGGUUUCUCCAUUCAGGAUAUUGGAUUUGGAGCUUUGUUGUUAUAAAGUUAAUUUGUAUGAAUUGAGUGGUGAUGGCAAAAUUGAAGGGAAUAAAUAAACUACCCCCCACCCGACGCUACCCUCAUCUUCAAUCUCGACAAAUAUUGAUAAUUGACUCUUCUUUUCAAUGUAAUUUUUUUUUUAUACUGGUUACACACCUGAUUACUGCAUUGCACAUAUAUUUACAAUCAGAUAUACCUAAAUGAGAUUUAUAUAUGAUUACAUUAAAUUCUAUAAAAUACAUGCUCAGAUAAAUUACCCUUACAGACGAGGGAUGCCCCUACUUCACUUGUAUUUCACAAGGAAUAAAAAGUUAUAAAUGGUUAGUCCCACAAUACUUUUGUGGGGGCUUGAACCACUGCCCUCACAACCCACCACUUCGACCAAGGCUAAAGUGGCUUUUCAAUGCAAUUAACAUUUGUUUAAUUGCAACUUCAUUUUUCCUCUAUGCGUGAUUGAUAUGAUGCCUCCUUGACUUUGUAAGUAGGGAAAUUGGGGCUUACUUUUAAUUACCUAGUUGCAUUUCUUAAUUAACCAAAUUAAGCCAAGACCACAUUUUGGAUGGAUGUGGGGCUCAAUGCAGAAACGUGCCGUCAUCACAUCAUUAGACCAUUCAUUGAUUUUAGGGUUGGCAAUUUAAGGGCCUGGGCCGGGCUUUGCCAAGCCCAGGACCAGGCCCAUAUAAUGUUAAAUAAGUCCAGGCCCUCUCAAAGCCCAUCCAAGUUAAGCGGGCUUUGGGCAGGCCGGGCCUUGACGGGCCUGGGCCGGGCCGCGGGCCAAGCCCGGGCUUUUACGAAAUUUUAAAUUUUUUUUAAAAAAUAAAAUUAUAAAAUUUCAAAACAUAAUUAACCAAUACAUAAUACUACAAUAGGCUAAAAACUUAAAUAUAAUUCUCUAAUACAUGAUUAGCAACACAAAAUAUAAAAAUACUAACAAUACAAAUACCGUACACAACGUACAAAUCAACCACUAAUAUAAAAAAAAAACUAAUAGAGAUUUACCGAUUUAGGAAUUUUGACAUUUUGUGACAAAACCUUUGCCCUUUCCCUUUGCCCGAUUUUUUUAUUAUUUUGUUUAAUUAUUUUUUCAAUUUUAUAAUAUAUUAUACAUUUUUUAAUAUAUAUAUAUAUUAUACAUAUAUAUAUUUUAUAAUACAUAUAUUUAUUUUAUAAUACAUAUAUUUAUCCUAUCAACCAAGUCCUGCUGUACCGUACAUCCGCCUUGGCCGUACAGCAGUGCCAUUAGGAAACUAUGUAGAUUGCAGCAUGUAAAUUUUAUCAGUUUUUUUAUUGUGCAUGUCUUGAAUGCUGCCGGAUGACUUACAAUAAACCAAAGCAUGUAUGUGGGUCAAAACUAAAUAAUCAGAGCAAAUGUCAAAUUGGAACAUGGAAACAAUAAUAGAAGACUUCAUUUCGAUUACCGAAAGAAAGAAUCCGCGAAGCAAUAAACAUGUGUUGGAAGAUUGUGCUGAUACUAUAUAUCAGAUUAUAAAUUAUUUGUAGUUGGUAAACAAUGUAAUAAGUUUCAAACAAUGUAAUAAUUUUUAAAUUGUUCAUUGCAAUGUAAUAGUUUUCAUAUUGAUGAAUGUAAAUUUCAAUUCAAAUGCCAAUUGCAAAUUUUCAAUUUCUAUUAAAUGGAUUUCUAAUUUUUUUUUUAAUUUUUCUCAAAUAAACAUUGAUACCAAAGUAUCGUUAUAUUUAUUAUGCUUUUGUAUCAUUAUUUGUUUGAUACCAUAGUCUCGUUAUAUAUGUGAUGUUCAAGCAUCAAUUUUUUUUUGAUACUAUGGUGACAUAGAUUCGCUGAUACAAAAAACUUGUGUCAGUAAUUUUCUUGCACCGUAUUCAGUGACACUUGACACUAAACUCGGUGUCAGUAAAAUAAGUUCUUGAUACUAAAAUAGUAUCAAAGAAUGUCAUUUUUUUACUAGUGUAAAAAGAGACAUCGAUUUAGACAAUAUAGCGAUGAAGUAAUGUAGGAAGUAUAUUACAUAAAAUAAAUUAGAAUUUAUUAGGAAUUAUAAUAUUUGAGUAUUUAGUAUUUUAUUUAGGGUUGGCAAUUUAAGGGCCUGGGCCGGGCUUUGCCAAGCCCAGGACCAGGCCCAUAUAAUGUUAAAUAAGUCCAGGCCCUCUCAAAGCCCAUCCAAGUUAAGCGGGCUUUGGGCAGGCCGGGCCUUGACGGGCCUGGGCCGGGCCGCGGGCCAAGCCCGGGCUUUUACGAAAUUUUAAAUUUUUUUUAAAAAAAUAAAAUUAUAAAAUUUCAAAACAUAAUUAACCAAUACAUAAUACUACAAUAGGCUAAGCGGGCUUUGGGCAGGCCGGGCCUUGACGGGCCUGGGCCGGGCCGCGGGCCAAGCCCGGGCUUUUACGAAAUUUUAAAUUUUUUUUAAAAAAAUAAAAUUAUAAAUUUUCAAAACAUAAUUAACCAAUACAUAAUACUACAAUAGGCUAAAAACUUAAAUAUAAUUCUCUAAUACAUGAUUAGCAACACAAAAUAUAAAAAUACUAACAAUACAAAUACCGUACACAACGUACAAAUCAACCACUAAUAUAAAAAAAAAACUAAUAGAGAUUUACCGAUUUAGGAAUUUUGACAUUUUGUGACAAAACCUUUGCCCUUUCCCUUUGCCCGAUUUUUUUAUUAUUUUGUUUAAUUAUUUUGAUUUCCUGCAAACUCCAUCUUUGUCUUAAGCAAGCCACAAGAAGAGACAGGGACAGGGAGAGCAUUUUUUUGUCUGGGCCGUUUCACAUCAAAUAUCUGGGCUUGCAAUGAGCUUCGAGUUUUGGAUUCAAUCUAGACCCCAUGCUAAUUGGGCCGUUUCACAUCUAAGGCCUGUAAAUCCGACUUAAAACAAAACCUCGACAGUCACUUUCGGCUCGCGGUGUUUAAGAAUUAAGGCUUUGAGUUUUAUACUAAUAUGGAGAGAGAUGUUUGGUUUCUAGGGUUUUAUUUAUUUAUAAUAUAAGCAAGUGAAGUGAAGUGAAGAGAAGAAAAAAAAGCAAAUGGAUUCGUUUACAUCUUCAGCGAGUGGAGCAGGAUCGUCUCAGUUCUCAAAUGAGGAGUUCAUGGACAAGUUGAAGCUCCAGCUUGCUCAGGCUUAUGCCCAGGAGUUUCUCGAGGUAUUCAAUCUCUUUCAUCAGUUUCCGUCGUUACUCUUCAUUUCUGUUUUUUUUUCUUCUUUCCCCUUUAAUAUUCCUUAGACAUUCAUUCUUUUCUCUGCUUUGUGCUUUUUUUAAUUUCGUUCUUUUUGCAAAUUUGUGUUCGCGCGUUCGAAACUAAAUUGAUCUUUAGAUUUUCUUUUUAAGGAAAAAAAAAGGCCCAUCUUUUCGUUACUUUUUUGGCUGUAAAUUGCUUUGGGUUAUCAAAAUUGCUUGAAUAAACUGCCCUCUAUAUACAUUAUUGAUUUGUAGUUGUAGUUGGAGGGUGUUUUGGGAACUUGUUCUUGAGAGUUUCUCCAGUCACUUUUCUCUUGCAUUCUACCUUAUUUGCAUGUUUUAUACAAAGGGUCUAAACAUAAGUCCUCUUACAAGUUAUGCCGACGUGUCUUUCGUGAUUUCGGUGGGAUCAGCAAUUCUGUCUUGAGUAUCUGCGUGUAUAUGCUUAGAAACAUUGGCCAAUUUGAGUCAUAGUUUUACCUCAUACAUCUGAUAAUGCGCCCUCUCAACUUCUGACUUAUUUUUACCUAAUCAUCACUUUGGAUUUCGAAAAUUUCCUAGGUCAUAGGGAGGAAUUUUGAAUCUGGUGCUAAUAUGUAUGUAUUCCCAUAAGCAAUAUUUAUUAUUGCUUUGUCUGCUGAGCAGAGUUUUUAGUUUUUGCCCCUCUAUCUUAUUUGUUUUGACUUCACUUAUGAAAAAUUGUCCACUGUUUGUUGGUUGGGUCUCGUUUUUGGAUGAAUCAUUUUUUCCUUCAUUGGACUUAUGGUUUAAGUGGUUAUUUGCUUAUCAGACUGUAACAGGCAAGUGCUUUGAGAAGUGCAUCACAAAACCAGGUUCAAGUCUGAGUGGCAGUGAGAGUAGUUGCGUCUCUCGGUGUGUGGAUCGCUAUAUUGAGGCCACUGGCAUCAUUGGCAGAGCGCUCUUUAGUGCACAGCGCUGAUCUUUCAGAUUGCAGCAUUUAUGCAGAAAAGAAUGUGCAAUUUGCCAAAUCUUGGAUCAACAAUUAUAUUUGGUCUUUACUAUUCCAUUUCUCGCAAUCAUCAAGUAUUUUCUUUGCCUUGAAUCUUACUAUAUGUACCGCAAUUUCUUUAUGCAAACUUGAAAUAUCUUAGCAUCUUAUCUGUUAAUGCUAGAAUUAGUACUUAUUACUAUUUGAUUAUUUGUUCCUGUAGCAAUGCAUAGUUUUGAUGCUGUGAUAAGGACCUUUGCUUAUGGGAUUUAAAUUUUGUUCCAUUGGAAUUUUAAAAAGAUGUAACAUAAGAGUAAAGUCAAAUUACAAAAUUGUAACUUGAAUUGAUGUACAGAACCGGCUAAUAUUUCCUUGAACUCCUUUCCUUCUCCUUCUCUGUCACCUUGUAUUUUGCCAUUAUGAUGCACUUUGCCAAUUUAUGAGACGGCACUUCCUCUUCAAAUGGCACAAUGGACCCAAAAUGUAUAACAUAAGUUCCUAUUUACGGCAAGUUGCUCUAUGCCAGCAGCAGCCUCCAGCUUUGCCCUUUUUCUUGCUUGAUAGCACCCAAAUCAAAUUCAGGUACUCAAUGAAUUUGUGGGAAAGACUGACACCGCUGGCUGUAAGAAUGAAAUUGCCGAUACAGAUACAGUAGUCAGCAGUGGUCGGUGAAUGGUGAAGUCAAAGAGCCGUCAGAUCUGUAUUAUCCUCUUACUCCACUCCCACCACAAUGUAUGUGUUUGGGAAGGAAAUAUGAGGCCAAUGAUGAAGCGCCACGUGUCGAUAUUUAAGAGAUUAAUUUAUUUCGGGUACCUUAGGUAUCUCGGGUACCUCGGAUACCCUAGAUAUCCCGGCUAUCCUAAGCACUCCGGGGGUACCUCGGGUACACUAUGAAAGGAUACAAAAGUCUUCGUAAAUAUGUGAAGGGAUAUGUGGGCCCCGAGUCUCAAAAAGAUCAGUUUGAUAUGUGUCAAAAAAUAAGGAAAUAUCGUGCCGCAAAAGAGGAGACAGCCGCCUGUCACGCCAGCGAAUCCGCCAAAAGUGUGAUAUUGUGACAACUGGGACCACCAGCUUUUCCUGCUGCGCCUGCAAAAUUACAACGGAAUUGCAGAGGUACGCGGGACCACUCCACUACGCCCAGCACGUGAAUACGCCACAAACUUGCUCUCCACGCAUAUUUUUGAAACGCUUAAGCCUCCAUAUGCAUGAAAGUAAGAAUAUUCCUGACAUGACAGCAGGGAAUGCCACUAAAAUAGCGUCAGGUGGCACGGCGACCGGGGUACACCAUAUAAAUACUCAGGUUUGAUUUUUAUCAAGUAAGUGAACACACUCACCACAAAAAAUUAGGGUUUCUUCAACCUCAAAAUCUCCAUUACCGAGAGCUUGCAAGCUCUCUAACCUGAGAUAACCCAACUCUGACUUGAGCGUCGGAGUGUGGUCGCCGGCCACCCCCGGCUCCACCUUUGACCUCUUUUUGGUUGUUUCGCAGGUUUAAAGCGAGUUUCACCAGCCCUCCACACCUGAAGUCAGAUUCCCUUCAUAACCAACGUCAUCUCAAUCCUCCUUCACUCCACAAAAAGCCUAAACAACUCGCACGUGCCGAACAAGCGAGGUACCCCGUUCCCCGACAAAAAUAUAAAUUUAUUGCUCUUGGGUUGGUUUUGUGGUUUUUUAUUCAUUGACCCAAAAUCAGCCGCAAACAGUAUGUUAUGCAAUGUGCAUAUAAACAUAUAUUAAACAGAAGUCACCACUGAUCACCAGCUGGAACCUUUGACUUCCAUCAGGAAAUUACAAUUUUAAUGGUCAUUGGACAUGGUUGCUUGCAACUACCAAGCUUCUAUUAUCCGACCUUGCAUCUACUGUUAAAAAUGUUCCCCCUAACUAUAUUCAGCCCAUCCCUGAUCGUCUAAAUCUCACUAAGGUUCAGAUAUCAGAUGGUACAAUUCACCUUAUCGAUCCGGAGGGUCUUUACGGUACUUUAGAUUGGCCAGGCAUGCCAAGAUGUUGGCUUCUUUCAGGUGAAGAACUAUGGGAUCCUGGAGGCAGUGAUCAAUAACAUGUUGAGAAAUCGCCAGAGAAAGAGGUUGAACAGUUGCUCUGAUGACCCUUCGAGGCCCUUAUAAGAUUGUCCACUAGUUUUAAUGUCAAGACUGAAAACGUGUCCAACUGGAGAGAUUUCCAGAGACUGCUUCAUGCCUUCAUUGCUAUCCACUUCAACAUUACGUGCUAAAUAUAUGUGUGUGUGUGUGUGUCCAGUCAUAUAUUUUAAUCCGUUGUUUUUGAGACUUAGGUAGUGUUUGUUUUUUUGUCUGAAAUCUAAAUGGGUCUGAAUUUUUUUAAAGUCUGAAUGGGUCUGAAUAUGAAAAUCUGAAUGACAUGUUUGUUUUUCUUUUUUAAAUAUUUGAAUAUAAGUGACAUCUUGUUUGUUUUUACAAUAAAAAAAAUCUUAAACUUGGUUAUUUGACAUUUAUGUCCUUAUAAAUUAAAACAAAAAAUAGGAUUAAAUUUUAUAGUUUAGGAAAUAAGUUAUUUUACAGAGAUAUUUUUGGAAUAUAAUAUUUACUUAUCAUUCAGAUAAAAGUCACAAAAGUUUAUUUUUUCUAUUCAGAUGUAAAUGUCUUAAAAUCAAAUAUAAGUUCUAAAAAAUAAACAAGUAUAUUUUAAAAAAUAUCUGAAAUUAAUAAAAUUUCAGACUUCAGACAUUUAACAAAUAACCUCUUAGACGCUUGACAGGGAGGCCAUGGGUGACUACUGUACAAGUGUAAAGAUGUUUAGUGCUAAGGGUAGUUGAGUUGAGUCCUUAACAGAAAGCUCAGGGCUUCAAAGUGAUUAUAUUAUAUUUAUAGAAAAGGAGGCAUUAGGCAAAUAUGGGCAACACAUGGCUUUAAACUUGUAUGUAUCCACCCUGCCCUCAGCCCGAGCUGACUCUGGAUUGCCAACACAGGACAAACUGAUCCUAAUUUAUUAAAUGAUGAUUGAUUGAUGUCCUUAGAAACGGCAACUGGCUUGCUGUCAGUCCUAUUCCUAUUUCCGAAUACCUUCAUUGUCAACAUCGGCGAUCAAAUGCAGGUCAAUUUCAUUCCCGCCAAAUAAUUGAAACAUCUCAUUUGUUGGCAGAGACGGUAAUUAAUCAAAUUUUGUAACUCGGAUGUAUCCGUAUCACUCAGGUUCUUAGCAAUGAUCGAUACAGGAGUUAGAGUGUGCUCUAUCGAGCUGGGGUAGACUGUGACAAGGAGGCAUGUCUGUUUCAACGUUCUAUUGUCCAUCACCUGAUGCUGUUAUAGCUCCUUCCCUUCAAAGGAUUUGAUUGACCGACAUCACCCGGCCGUCUAUUCAAAUUUUGGAACAGGGAGGUUGCAGCUGAAUUCUGCUUGGACUUGUUCAAAGCUUCAACUGCCUGAUCUUGUCUUGUCAUUAUACAUGUAGUUGGACAUCUAAUUUCAUAACCUCUAAAUAAUUUAUCGUAUUUCGUCUGUUAUCAAACAGUUUUCUGUACAUUUCCAUUUCUAUAUCUAGUUAUCUACUUCUAGUUUGUAACUAUUAUUUCAGAUUAUUGAUAUUUAGCUGUUGAACAUGUAAAAAGUAAAUUGGUUCAUCACCAGUAACAAGUAAAAGUAUGCGUUUUCCAGGCUCUCAAAAUAGGACAGAACAGUUUGUAAAAGGGAAGUUGUCUUUAGAAAUAUUUUGCCACUCUUAACGCUGACGCAAAAAUAAUGUUUGCUUUUUGGUUUUGUGAUAUAUUCAUGCACAUUCCCAACGGAGAAACCGUUUUCAUAAAGGUGAGAUUUCGGUAUGAUUAAACAACUUAAAAUCCUAUUCUUCAUUUCAAUUGAUAAUAUAUGGGUUGAUCGUUGACUAGUUAUGAAUUUGAAUGAAUGAAUUAGUGGAUGCUCCAGCCUCCUCCACGGUUGGUUUGAUGAGCACUGAUACUGAAAAAUAGCUAUGCAGCUAGAAUUACCGUUCAACGGGGAAGUGAUAGCGAUUGGAAACCCCCGAAGCUAGCCUUGCAAUGAAAAGCUUGUUUCAGUUUGAUUUGUUCACGAUGAACACAAAUGCAGGAGGAUAGGACUUGGGAGAGCACAAGAAGAGAAUUUGAAAGCUUGGCAAAAGCGGCAGUAUUUUACGAAGAUAAGUGAAAUUUAGUUUGGGAACCUUGUGUCUGUUCCAGCUUAAUUCAGAUCUAAUGGCAUUCACCAAGAGAACACUGAGUCACUGCAAUCUUCUCCAUAAAUUGAACUGGCUAAAGGGUUUAGAACCAUGAAAACAUAUCUUCUGACAGAAUAUAGCCAUUGCAGAUUGACAGUUCAAUUAUCCGUCUACAACUAAUACAAUCUAUAUAUUAAAAACAGACAUGCAGUGCAGCUCACCUAUACAAUUCACCUACUCAUAUUCAACUCUUUCUACACUCCCGCUCAAUCUGAAUAGUCACAUGACUGAUGUUGUAUUCUCUCUUAAUAUAGUCUAUAACAUUUUCUAAUACCAUGUCAGCAUCAGCUUCAGGCUUGAUUUUGACAUGGCAGGCCAAUAACACUUUCCCAACUGUUAUAGCCCAAAUGUGCAGUUCAUGGAUGGCAACAACCUCUUCCAUCUCACAAAGCCCCUUCUCAAGCCUCGUGGCAUCAACCUCUCUAGGUGUGCUCUCCAUCAGAAUCUCUAAAAUGUUUCGCAACAUCCUGAAUGUUGUGCCCAACACAAUAGCAGAGAAAGCUAGGGUGCAUAUCAAAUCAAUAAUCUUCCACUCAGGCUUAUACCAUAUGAUUGCCCCGCCAAUCAUCACCCCAACACUUUGAAUGGAAUCCCCAAGUACAUGUAGAUAAGCCCCCUGCACGUUGAUGUUCCGUUGUUUCUUCUGUUUCGGACCAUCCUUCGGUUUAUGUUCUUCUGAACAAGUGCUUAGCAGAGGCUCAGUGCGAUCUGUUUCAUGGGAAUGAAGAUGCUCAUCUCUGUGUUUGAAGUCACCCCCAUGAUGAUGCUGAUGAUGUUUAGCAUCAUGCCCAUGACUGUGAUCGUGUCCAUGGUUGUGACCAUGACCGUGAUCAUGACCCAGAAAGAAUGCCAUGGCGAUAUUAACAGCUAAACCAAUUGCAGAAACGACAAACAUAAGAAAUCCUUGAACUUGGCCAUUUUCAUGAAUAAGUCUAACAAUAGCUUCGUACACAAGGAUUCCAGCGAGAAGCCAUAUCAACUGAAUGGAAACAAGGGCACCAAGUAUCUCAAUCCUGAAGAAACCAUAAGACUGACGUGGAGUCGCCUCCCACCCCGAAGCCCAUAUAGAGAACAACGAUAUUGCAAACGCUGCAACAUCCGACAAGAGAUGAGCUGCAUCGGUCAAUACAGCAAGGCUGUUGGCCUUCAUACCUCCAACAACUUCUACACCCAUGAAGAUUAUACAGAGCACAACUACAAUCAAAAGCUUCAGCAUGGAUGCUGAACGCUCCUCUGCAUCUUUCGAACUGGUUUUAGAGUCCGAAAAUCCACAAGGUGCUUCUCCACAAAACUUGCUCCCCACUAGGCUUGUCUGUACAGCCGAUACAUCACCACAUACGUCAAUUACAUGCGAGUGUUCAGAGUUUUGCACUUCCAUCUGAAAAAUCAACAUCAUGAAGAGUGGAAAAAAGAGUCAGAUGCCAAUGCAAGCAUAUUUUUAUGUCCUCAUUCAGUGCAACACAAUGACCAAUCAUGAUUGUAGCUUCAGAGAAAGGAAAAUUCCAGAAGUUAGAUAAAUAAAUUUGUUCUUCACAUGAGUUCAAAUACCAAUGAGAAGGCCAUAUUCUCAUCAUCCGUGUGUUCUUAAACCAACCAUCCUUGCUUCGAAGACCAAAAAUUUGUCCAUAGAUGACUACUAGUCAAAUCUUUGUUUCUGAAACCCCAAUUUCUUCCUUUCCCCCGCCACAAAGAUAAAAAGGUGGAAUCGACUAGCAAAGCUAAAUCCAUAAGCAGCUGUUUGGAAAUCUCUGGAACAGAGAAGAAGAGGGAGUCUUUUGGUACAGACAAAGUAAGUCAAUAAAUCUAUCCAUGCACAUGCAACGCUAAAGAAAUUCAAGCUUUCAGAAAUCGGAUAGAUACACACAUGAUGAUCAGAAAUCAGAUUUCCUCGUGAACAUUUCUUUUAAAAACAAAUAAUAGAUGAUUAAACAAAGAAAAUAACAAGCACGCAGAAAGGAUGUUAACAUGAAGAUCGGACGCGUAAUCAGCCAUUAAUUCAAAGAAAUCAAGAUCAUACAAGUGACGUGAGAAUGAAGAAUCAAUCAAAACACCUGUCCAGAAAGAUCAACGCAUAACAUGUAGCACUACAUAUCCAUCCAUCCAUCCAUCCAUCCAUCAAAAUAUGACAAAUUUAUUUGCUCCUUGUGUUCAGGAGGAGGGAACUGCACUGGCCAAAUACUAUAAAUUAACAUAUUAAAGAACAAAAAACAAAAAGAACAGACACACAAACAUACCAUUGGAUUGAUGGUUGUCAAUUGAAGUAGAAGAUUACUAGCACACACAGUCUCUGUCUCUCUCUCCCUCCCCCCACCUCAGAGGCUGCUGAUACGUGACUUGUUUUUUUCAGUUUAUACUACUAACACAAAUCAAAUAUUUUGUUUCUUUCCCCUGUUUUUCUAAUUUAUAGGGCGUAACACUUACUUACGGCUGUGUAAAUAGUUCCCCAGUAUACGUAUGAAUAAAUAAAUACAUGUACAACAAUUUCAUUUUUCGGCUUUACUAAUUAACGAAAUUUGUUUGCUAGCCAAUUAAGACUUUUACACUUUUGCUAUUUUGUCCUAAAUAUGCCAGGAAUCUUAUCCACGAUUUGAUUUCUGUCCACCACACACUAAUAAAAGUAGAAAUAUAAUUUACACAACGAUAUAAUAUAUAUAUAUUAUUUCCUUUAAUUAGUUAGUAAAAGUAGAAAUAAAAAGGAACACACACCACUAUUAACUGGCAAUUUUGAUUUUUAUGGUAAGAUAUUAAUUUAUGGAGUGAAAAAUUACUAAAAUUAUAAAAAACUUACUGUUAAAUUUUAAUGGCAUCAAAAUCUUGUAAUUAAACUCAUACAUUACAUGGUUGAUUUAUAAAUACACUGCUCUACACUGUACCGAAACAAUGUAAAGUUUAAGCUAAGCAUAGCGGCUAGCCGGCUAGUGCUAAGGGUGGGUGCACGUGUAAAACAAGGGGAAAGAGGUGGAUUGCCAGCUCAUUGUUAUAGUUUAUAAUGUAAAUUUCGAAUGAAUUUGAUUGUCCAUUCCUCAAAAAUAAUAAUCUAAUGUUGCGAUGACAGUCGAUAAUAAUGAUAAGAUCAGAGGUUAGUGCGAAGGAUUGUGGUGCUGACACCUUGGCAAAUCUCCGGUUCUGAGAAAUGGUCUGAUUAAGGCUCUUUUUGUCACUUUUCGCAUAUGUUCAAAUCAAUAUCACUCAGAAAUUCCACUGUGUGCACGUGAUUGCCUAAUCUUUUGGCUUUUGAUUUAACUUUCAAACCAAACGGGGUGGUCAUUCACAACAGCACUGAUGUAAGAAAUUGACCUAUAAAAUAAAAUUGGCUCACAGGAAGGAAUUGUGGCCUGGCAAUCAACUCUUUGUUGUAAAAUUCCCAAUGAAGUGAAACUAAAUUAUAACCCAAACAUACAAAAAUUGGUCGUACAUCAUGAACUUUGAAGCGACUGCUAAACCCACAACUAUAGCAAAAUCAAGGCAACAAUGAAAUAAUCAAAGUUCCUUCUUUUUGGUCUCAAGAACUGGAGGGUCAAUAUCAAUACCCAUGUUAGCCGCAGUACCUGCUAUAAUUCUCAUUGCUGAUUCAAUAGAAGUGCAAUUCAAAUCUGGAAGCUUUUCCGUGGCAAUGGCCCGCAAUUGUUCAAUGGUGAUCUUCCCCACUUUCUGUUGCUUUGGAUCUUUUGAACCCUUCUCCACCCCUAUUAUCAAUCAGUUCAGUGGCAAUUAAAAGCACAAUCUUUUACUCAUGAUAUUUAUUAAAUGGCAGAAUACACUGUAGAUUGAUCACUUAACCAUUUACAGUUACAGCAUUUUGCUAUUCAACAGUAACCAAUUCCGCCAAACAAACUGAUUGUUUGCAAUUACAACCAAAAAUACCAAGUUGCUUAAGCAUGACCCCAUAGAUAUCCAUUAAAAAUGCCAACAUGAUUGAAUGGAUAAGUUGAAAACACCUUAACCUUGUUCAGAACUCAAUAUAGCUUUUAUUCGAGAGAUAUACAUUCAAAGCUUCAAUAUUCCAUCCUUCUAUGAAUUUCACAGCCAUUAUCCCAUUAUGAAUCUUGUCUUUCUCAUACAAACAUAGAUGACAAUGACCCACAAUAUGGCAUCAUCUAAUAGAUAAAAUGCAUUCAUUGUACUACAAGAUUUAAUAACAAAACAACGGAUCAAAAGAGAUCAAGGAUGAGGAUUGUAUAUGGGAAUUAGCAUUGAGAUUGCAGCAAAAUGUAUCAAGGUCAUUAAUAAGGGAGUGUUUCUUGCAAUGAAACUUUAAUUUUUGAGAAGUAAAAACUGAUAAGCAUUAUGGAUCCAGAAGUCCUGCUCAUACUGUGAGCAGUUAUGAAAAGGACGCACAAAAAUACUAGCUGUGGACCUCUUUCGGGCAGGCCGUGAUAAAAUAAUCAGUGGAGUGGAGUGAAUGCUACCUAUUGCAGAGCAAAAGAUAAUGGAUCUAUUUCAAUAACAAACUCAUACUUCUAAAAGAAUGAGGUUUCUGGUUAAUUUCCAUGUUGAACGAGAAGUUUUGAUGUUCAGCCAUGUUCUUGUUGGGAAAAAGAAAAAUUAAAUGAAGUCUUUGAGAUUAUACUGGGUCUUUCAGUUUAUCCUUUUAUGUUUAUAGUGUUCAUUAUUCAUAGCCAAGAAAAAGGGGACCGAAAAACAAGCAAAGUAAAGACAACACAAAGAUAAAGUAUCUGCUUGGCACUAGCCUAUCAUAAGGAGAACACUACGGUUAUGGCCAUGUAAACACAAAUUUCACUCCUCAACAAGAGGGUCGACUUCUUGUCUUUAGGCCUUUCUCAGUACAAUGAAAUCUCACCCCUGUUACUGGAAUCAACAUUACCCCAACCCAAAAUAUGCAGAAAUACGUACAAAGUUAAUCCAAAAAUAAUAUGUGGGAUUCAAGAUAAGGGAAACAUAUUUCAACUUGCUGCAGAUUUGGUGUUACAAAAACAACUCUUCUGGUUUUUACUCAUUUCAGCCAAAAGAGAUUGCUUAAACAGUAGGCAUCUUUUCAGCUACCGUUUAAUAAAUGUAAUCAAAUAAACUUCAAUUACAAGAUGUAGCGACAGAACAUAAUUCAGAUAUGAGAAAAUUUCAAAGGCCUACUUAAAAUACAGAAUUGAAAAGUCCAUGCAUUACAACAAUGUGUCGCCUUACCUUUGUUAAGCCAAGCACAUACAUUUUGGUUUUCCAAGAAUCUCAACAAAGUUUCAAGGAAUCACAGUGGCACCGCAGUUGAUUCAAUUAGGAUCAACUACUCAAUUCUCAAAAAUUAUAAUAUAAUAUAUGUAAUAGGGUUAAUUAUAAUUGAAAGCAUACCAGCAGCCUUAAGGAGCAAAACUGACGCGGGCGGCGUCUUAAGAAUAAAAGUGAAGCUCCUAUCCUGAAAGAAAGAAAGAAAGAAAGAAAGAAGGAAAGAGAGGAAAAUAAAUAGACAAAUAAAAAAGGGGGUCAAUGAAUUAACUGAAAAGAAAAUGAAGAACAAAUGGAUUUGGAAGCACUAACAUCGUAAACGGUAAUUUCGACUGGAAUAACGUAACCGGCUUUAUCAGCAGUUCUAGCAUUAUAAUCCUUACAAAAAGCCAUGAUAUUUACACCCUUAGCACCAAGGGCUGGCCCCACGGGCGGCGCAGGUGUGGCCUUUCCUGCCUCUAGAGCCAGCUUUAUCAAACCCAACACUGCUCCGCGCCCGCCAAUGAACAAAUAUUAAAAUUAAAAAUUAAAAGAAUUAAGCAAAUGUAAAAGCAAAUAAGAACCGAACAAAAAAUGAAAGGGCAUGGUCGUAAAUAAAUAGAGGUACCUUUCUUGGCUUUGGCUUUGCCACCGGGUUUAGGAGGAGCCAUGGCAAUGACAGUGAGAAAUCUUGGAGUUGAAGAGAGGAGUGGGGAUGGUUUAACUUUAUUGUCGUAAAAUGGGAGGGAGACAUUAGAGUUUGAGGAUAAGUUGAUGGCUGAAGGAAAUAAAGAGCACGAAAGCUGCUGACUAGCAUUUUGAAGACUCGUUGAAGUGGAUAGAGAGGAAGCCAUUGAACCUCGAAUCCACUGAAUCUGAGUAACCAAACAACAGCAAACUAAGAAGAAGAAAAUGUUUCGGAUAAGUUCGUUGGGACUUAAAACUACAUCUCCGGCCGCUCUCUCUCAACUCUUGCCCACCAUCUCUAUGGACCCCCACAUCAAUUUCUAAUGUACCCACAACUACAAUUUUCAAUUUUCAAAACGAAAAUCUCGCCAAUUUCGACACCCCGUUUUUUAUAUUUUUAAAUUACUAGCCGACACCCCUUUAAAUUCCCGAUCUACCCCCCAGUGAACCUCCCCGUUGGUUUCCCUUGGAUUAGUGAAAUCUUUCUGGCCCAAAUUUUUUAUUAUUUUGAUUUGUGCAAUGGAUUCUUUCUUCUUUCUACCAUGGUUCAAGAAUUUUUCUUAAAAAAUCUACUAUUUUAUGUACUCGCUCUUUCUUUUGCCAUUUUAAAUGAAAAAUAAAAAAUUAUAUAUAAAAAAAAAAAAAAAGAAAUGGAGAGACUCAUUGUCUAAUACUUGGGUUUAGAAGUUGAAACAAAAGUCGAGACAGUUAACGACUAUUGACAAUGAGAGUAAUGUAUAAAUAUUGAAGAAUUGUUUUCUAUGAUUACGAACACAACCCAGUCUGACAAAUUAUAUGAUUUUUGCCUUAUGCUCAUUAAUUUUUAUUAAGAAGUUUAUCACCUAUAGAAAUUAUUUGUGUGAAGACUUAAGUCAAUAAGAUUGUAAAAUAAUUGUAGGAGCAAGAAAUAAUAAAAAAUUAAUAGACUCAUAAAUUAAUUGUGUUUAUUUAAAAAGAAAGGUACUUUUGACAUUAAAUUUAGUAUAAUUGAAGGGGAUGUUUUAAAAAGAUUUCGGAGGGAUGGCAAUAGUUCAAUUCUAAUAAAAGAAAAUAUCAAUUUUAUUUUAUUUUAAUAAUUACCAUUUAUUAUUAUUAUUUUAAUAUUGAAAAAUCACAAGUUCUCUCUGCCAGAAAACGAGUUUCCGAUAAAAGAAGAAACUCAGAUUGAAUAUUUUAUCUGUAGUAUCACAAAGCCUACAUAUUUUGGCCUUUUUUUCUUUUUCAAGAAGAACAAGAUUAAUUUUUUUAUUGAAAAUUCCAAUCAGUACGACUGACUGAAGUAAGUUUUAUAAUUACAGAAACAAAUUAGAUACCGUGAUCAACGGAAUUAACAAGGCAGGGAGUAGCCACAAGCUAACCAUUGUAAAUUAGUUCUUCUUUGCUGUGGCAGAUGGUUGUUACCCAAUUCUUGCCGAGCAUAAUUCAUUUUGGAGUUGUAUUUUAAUAAUGCCAAAACCAACCAACCAACCUAACAGCUGGAUUUCGACUGAUUGACUUGAUUUUUGACAAAGUUUGGUUAAAUGAUUAAUUAAUUAGAUUUAAUCACUACUCGACUCAAAGAUAUGAAAGCUUGAAGGAAGUUUAGUUUAUUUGUUCAUUCCAUACAUUGUCUUGAUCGAGUGCAAUUGCCAUUCAUCCUAUACAUUGUCACUAUAAGAUUCAAAUUUGAUAGCACGAAUGGCUACUGGGCUCCUCACAAAAUGCUCACCAUCCGUCCAUGUCAGGCUGCCGAAUCUGUACUCUGCAUCUGGGACUGGAUGCACUUUAUGAUUUGAGAAGAAGGUCACUCUGAAGGAAAGAAUUUUGAUGGUCAUAUUGAAACUUAUAACUUCAGGUUCAACUGUCAUAUUUACGCCAUACGGAGCCUCCACUAGAGCUUCAUAAGCUGAGUUAAUUUGUCCCACAUUUGUAACCUUUCUUGUAACUGUAACUGUCUCAUUGUUAUGUAGAUUUGGGAUAGUGAUAGAUGGGAGGUUAAGGUCCAGAGCGAGAUGGUUGUUUUUCAAGCAGUUGAUUUUGGACUUGGUCAAUCUGCUGAUUGAUGCAUCGUUGUGACCCAUGAAGCAGAGGAACUGGAUAUAGUCCUCUACUGUAAUGUCAUAAACAAGCCCUGGAUUCAUUGCCUUGUUAGGAUUAACAUGCCCGCCCCCUAUGUCAAAUGGGUCUGCUUCCUUGCGAGUAGAGCCUUCCUCAAAUAUGUUCAUUCCGUCUGUUCCGGUUUGAGAAGCUGCAGUCAAAUGUCACCAAUUUCGGUUGGUUACAUGAGUAUGGCGUUACUACUCAUCAAUCAUGCUCUUCUUUUUUCUUGCCAUAUAAGAAAAUAACCAAAAAGGGGAAAAAACAGGAAAAAAAAAAAAAAACAACCAAGCAACCAACCAACCGGUUGUAACUAGAGCUGAUCUUAUGGCUGCUGGGGACCAGUCUCGAUGUAAAGAUUUUAUGAGUGCUGCUAUUCCUGCUACAUGGGGGCAAGACAUUGAAGUUCCUGAUAGCAGUGCAUACCCUUGGAUGUCCUUUGAGCCAAUUGGUGGAUAUGCGGAUAAGAUAUCCACACCCGGUGCAACUAUGUCAGGCUACCAUCCUCAAUCAGACAAUGGGUUUGUAAGGUAAUAAUUUUGAUAUUAUACACAUACACGUACAAAGAAUAGAAUAAACAAGGAAGAGGUAAGAAACUUUACAACUUGGAAGUCACAUUAUGCUAUCCAAGUGCCAAGAAAAUUUGUAUGCUUUUGCUUGUGUUACAUGUAUAAUGUUGGUUUCACAUUAUAACUGAGAAUUUAGCUUAUUGCUCCGUACCUUCAAUACAGCUGGGGACAUUGAAUUAGGUCCUCUGGAUGAGAAGGAUGCAACUCUUGGAGAUACCAAAUCCCCAAUAACAGUCUCGGGAGAACUCAGCUUUGCAAUCGGAGACCUACGCAUGAAAUCAAAUAAACACAAUAAAUUGUAUUCAGUUUAGAAACACAUAAUGUUUCUGUCCUCACCAUCCUCCAAUCUGUCUGCCACUACCUUGCUCUUCUAAUAUAGGAGAGAAUUUGUGUCCCUACUUCAUAAUUUACUUUAAUACAGUGAAUCAAAUUGCAAGAGUCAAGCCCGUCGGUAUGAAACUGCGCAUAUAUGAGUCCAACCCCUCCUGCUUGCGUCACAGAAAUUGCGGCAGACUGUAUGUCCUGUGUGUCUGGUCUUGAAAAGCAUAGAAUGAUUUUUCCUGCAGCUAAUGUCGCAUUAAGACUUCCCUGCCGGCAAUCGUUGCUGAAAGGUUGUAGUGAUUGAAUAGUAAAUAUAUCACACGGAAUGUUGGAGAGAUAAAUUGAAAAGUAAAAAGAUAGAGAAAGAAAUGUCUCUCUCACGCAGAAUCAGGGUCAAAAGCUAUGCGUUCAGAGUAUGUGAGGCCAGUAAAUCCAUGACUAACUUUUCCAAUAUCAAUCGAUUGUCCCUGAAAGAAACAAAAUGAUCACAAGAAAUCUUUGAACAUUGCAUUUUUUAUUUUUUAUUUUUGGCCUGAUAUGAGUGAAGAACUAUUUACUAUACCCAGAGAACUUGGUGAUUUCCAAGUGUUAUGGCCGUGGGGAAGGCCCUGUCAAUUGUGGUUGCUCCAACAGUGAUUAUCCAAGGUGCUGUGUUCACAAUUGUUUGAGCAACAGGGCCAUCGUUUCCUGCUGAAGAAACUACAGUGAUCCCCUUGGCAAUUGCAUGGAAGGAACCUAUUGCAAUUGAAUCACGUUGAUCAAUAUAGGAAAACAGUGGUAUCUCAUUGCCAAUAGACACAGAUAGGACAUCCACUCCAUCGUGUAUUGCUUUAUCAAAUGCUUUUAGUACAUCAGCAUCAGUGCAUCCAAUAUCCCAGCAAGCCUUGUAAAUUGCCAAGUGGGCUAAAGGUGCUCCUCCUCUGGCUAAUCCAGCAGCUAGCCCUCUAUAGUUUGCUUUUUCAACAAAAUAACCAGCUGCUGUGGAUGCUGUAUGAGUGCCGUGUCCAACUGCAUCCCUUGGAGAAAAAUACUCAUCAGUGUUAGUGGAUGCAUUGAUCAUAUCCAUGAUCCCUUUUAUGAACCACCGAGCACCAAUUAACUUUCUGUUGCAAUUGGAAGAGUUGAACUUCUCUCCCUUUUGGCAUAUUCCUUUCCAAUGUGGUGGAACUGGAGCUUGACCCAUGCCUUUAUCACUGAAACUUUCAGACUCUGGCCAAACUCCUGCAUAGAUUUAAAAAUUUAUUCUCAGGUUAAUAACGUUUUCCAGAUGUUAAUUAUUCCUUAAUCCUCAGGGUGAUGUCUCUACGUAUUACCUGUAUCAAUGAUACCAAUGAUGGUACCUUCACCCAUGUUGCUCUCUGUUGAUAGAUUUUUUGAAGACUGAUAAUAGUGGAGCCCCAUGAAUUCCCAGCUUCUGGUUGUAUGAAGCUUAAGAAUUCCAUUGGGAAUUACUUGAACAACGCCAGGAAGUUCUGCAAUUUAAAUUUCGAAUAUUUUUAAGACGCUGAAAAGCUAUGAGACGACAACACGGGCUUUCAGGCAAGUUAUCUCACCUGCUAUCUUUUCUGCCUGAGUUUUUGUUAGCCUUGCAGCAAACCCUGAAAACCCAUGUUUAUAGCUGUAUAGAAUUGAAUGCUUUGCUGCUUCUUUGCUGUGUCAAAAAUAACGCAAUUAAUGUUGUGAUUAUUACUUAUUGAAAAUUUAACUGACCAUUUUGAGUUUAUAUACUUAAGUAUGUAUGUCGAUUUAAAGUCAUACCUUCCAAGCACGGUUGAUAGAAAUCUGUGGUGAGACUUUGUGAUGGCUACUGGAUCUUCAUACUUCUUCUCUCCCAUAUACACAAUGUGCACCUAUAACAUUUUUUUGCCAAGUAAUCAUACCGAGAGAAAAAAAAGGAGGGGAAAAAAAGAGAGGAGAGAAAGCAAAAAAAGAAAAGUCAAAAUGUUAGAAUCUGGAUGUUGAAGUUACAUUUACUUACAUUACUUGUUGCAUCAACCAAUAUUAAGGAAAUCUGAAGAUGGUGUUGGAGCAGAAUGACGACAAGAAUUCUCAGCAACUGAGUUUUUCUUGCCUCCAUUCUGUUUCUUGAUACAAUAUAUAUCAAUCAGCAAAGCACAUGGAAACGUGCGGAGGAUUUUGUGCUAGACAGAGUUUCAAUUGUUCAAUGAAAAAUGGGAAUGUUCAUAAGUUAGCUCUUCUAUUAGAUCUUCACGUAAUUGAGGAAAGGAGAACAUUUUCCUUUUGAGUCUACUUUUGCUCUUUAUGCUUUACCAUCUUUUAUUAUUUUUUUCUUCUAGGACUUUAUGCUUAAUGGAUUAAAAGCAAGUGAGAAUUUAUGUGCUUGUGGAAGUUGCUGUUACCCGAAAGAUGCUCCAGAGAGCUCCCAAUUACCGCAAUGUGGGAGUGGGGCACAAUUUUGUGUAGAAAGAUAUGCUGAAAGCUGAAAUCCAAAUAAAUUACUUUAUCUACUUUUCCCAGCUUUUGUUCAACUCAACUUGUACAGUAGACCGCAUUUGCUUGAGUUGUAUCUGUCAAGCAUCAUAGUGGCUAAUUAUUACAUUUGCAAGGUGCAUGAUCUAAAAACUUUUGAACAAAAUAAAAUUGACCAGGGCAGUCGGCACCAAGCUCUGUCUCUUCAUCACUGAUCACUGUGUGGUUUUUCUUGAUAUGUUUGGUAAUUAUUAUAUACACAAAUAGAUUUGAGUUGUGUCCUAGUCUUGCACUUAAUAUUCGAGAUUGGUGAUGGAUGAUGAUGAUGUUGCACUGUAUUGAUAAGAAUGACCCUUGAACCACUUUCAUUGUAGCACCUUUAAAUUAAAGUCCGCCCGUGAGAUUCCAAGACCUCAAGUUCUGCUUGUGCCAUCUGCUUUUAUCUUUUUCCUUCAUUGUUAGCACUCAGCAGUGGGACUGAUGUUUUCCUUUCUUCCUUUCAUUUAUUUAAAAAUAAAUAAAAAUAAAAAUAAGGCAAGAUGGUUCGAUGAAAACGCGUCAUGUAAAUGUAACAAACUCGUGAUGCUGAGAAAAAGCUGCAAGGGAUGAUCACAGCGUUGAUACUGCAGUUGGUGGAUCACUUCUGCAAAGCAGGUGCCAGCAAUUGACGUCGGGAAAAUCUAACGAUGGCAAAGUAGCUGGGCCUGAGAAAACUUGAGUCGAGCUAGCAUGUCUUUUGUUGGGUUGGUCUUAGCCUGAUUUGGGUUGGAAUUUUUUUUGGAUAAGGGCAAAAAGCCUGAGUUUGGUUUUUUUUUUUCAUCAUGUUUUAUAAAUUUAUAGUUUAUAAAAUUUUAUUUUAUUUUUGUUAGGUUAGACUUUAGAAGUUGGGAUUACAGGAUUCAAACUUUAAAUAUAUAUUCAAAAGUAUAUUUUAAUUUUUUAAUCAUUUCUUAGGUUUUUGGGUGAAAAUAUGCUCGGCCUGAAACACCCAAUUGCAGGCAGGGCUAGGUUUUUCUGACAUCCCUAGGACAAUCAAAAUAAUUACAAAUUAAUUUGAAUUAGGUUAAGUCUGGUUCGAUAUUAAAAUUAGGUAAUUGUAACUUAAAGGCUACAAUAUUAAUACAUUUAAUAAACUUGAAUUGAUUUGAUCAUACACUUGUUUGAUGAAAUACUUGUAAUAUGUUUGUUAUUUUUCUUAAAAAAAUUAUUUAAAAUCAUAUUUACUAUACAAUAUCAACUUUUAUUUUAUAGUUUUAAUUUUUUUUCCAUACAAGUGUAACUUAAAAGAUACAACACUUUAAUACCAAAUGCAAGCACAAGAUGUUAAUCCAUUUUAUUUAUGGUUGCUCAAUACAACUGAAGAACUCUAACUAUUAUACAUGCCUGUUCAAGAAUAUUUUUCUAUGAAUACUUUAUUUAAAUUGUGUUAAAUUUAUUUGGAAGAAUUUGGGAUCCUGCUAACUUACAUCAUUUGUAACUUUCAACAAACUCAAAUGUAAUAACCAAAGACCAAUUGCUCUUGAUUUGCUAAAUGUGUAGAAGAAGAAGAAGAAGAAGAAGAAGUAAAACAAUAAUAACAAUACUACUAAUGAUGAUGCACUAGCACAAGCACCUCUGUUCUAGCUCUACUGGUUUAAGAUUUUAUCAGGAGCCCAUAGCCUUGUCUCGUCUUGUAUAUAUUUACAUGCAUUGCAAUGGUUGCUCAUGUGUGGCUCUGAACGAAGACAACAUUUUAUUUUUAUUUUUAUUUUUAUUUUUAUUUCCUCUUUGGUUGUUUGUUGACACCCUGUUAAGGGUGGCAAAAAGGCUUGCGUCUAGAUAUGUGUCCAAAAAUUGUAAAGCCUACAUAUGUUGGGCCUGGACAAAAACUUAGCAAAAAAACCCUGACUUGGUUUGGGCUUUUUUAAUUUAUUAAUAAAAAAUAAAUUUAAUUUAAAUAUAUAAAAACCUCAAAAUAUUAAAUUAGUUUAAUUUUUUAUAUUUGUAUUUGUUAUUUGAUUAGGUUGUAUUAAUGUAUUGAACUAUUAUUCUAUUAUAUAUUAGAUGAUUAUCUUCAAUUUAGACGGGCUUUUGAAGGGCAUAGACUUUGUUUGAAUGAUGUGUGCUUGGGUCUGGGCUUUGAAAAGCACGGCCCAAGCCCACAAAUUGCCAUCCUUACACCAUGUCACCACUAAAUGAUGAUAUUGUCCCCCCACCUCUUAAAAUACCCCCUUCCCAUCUAUUUUAAAAUUUUGAAUUUUGCUUUAAAGCUAUUGUAUCACUCCCCUUUUUUUUUUUCAAAGGAUUACUAUUUUUUUCCAAAACCUAUUUUUCUAAAAUUUAUGCCUUUGUGUUAACGAAAAAAAACAAAGAUUAACCCCUAAUUAAUGUAGGAUAUUAUAUAAAACACCUCAAAUGAUAUAUCAUUUAGGAUACAGUCUUAGAAUUAUAACUUUCUAAACAUAUCAUUACAUUUUUUUUUUCUAAAUGGGUGGGCUUAUAUUAACUUAUAUUUUUUACAAAUUUUUUAAAGUCUUUGAUAUCUUUUGUAAUAUAAUAAUAUAUAUUGAAAGGCAACUCAACAUUUAAUAAUGUUCAUUCAUCUACCAUUGAAUUGCAUCAAAUUAAUGAUUUCAAAUUUCUUUCAUAUUUUUAAUCAAAAUAGUUUAACAAUUAAUGGGCUAAUUAUUAGGGUCGUUUUUUAACUUCCCUAGUUUAGUAGAUAAGCAAUGAUGUGCCUGCAAAAUUAGAAUAUAAGUAUGCAUCUAAAAUGAUUUUGCAUAUGAUGUAUCAUUCAUUUAUUAGUAUUAUGAAAUGAAAGUCAAUUAUUACUAAAUACGCAAUCGUAACUUAUUGUAUAUUAACUUUGUAAACAUAUCAUUACUCUUAUUAAAUUUUAAUGUAAGAAAAGAUUCUGACCUUCCAAGGUGUCUAAACUAUACGGUACCCUUGAGAUAUAUUAAUCGGACCCAUAAAAAGAUUAUCUUAAUUCUUGACUAUGUUCAGAAUAUAUAAAAUAUUGUUUUCCAAACAGAUUUUGAUUGUCUACAAACAUGCCCUUGUAUUAAGCAAAAUUCAAGGCAUUAAUUGAUGGUAACUGAAUAAAAGUAAAAAAAUAAUUAGAUUUUCUUAUGAUAUAAUGUUAGGUUGAGUGAUUUUGAAGCUUUAUUUGAUUGACCACCCUAUUCAUAUUUAAGAAGUUAUUUGGUUAAAAAAUUAAUUUAAAUUUACUCAUACCAUACCUUCAGGAAAAAAAAAAAGAAGGGAAAAAUAUGUUAACAUUCCAAUUAAUCAUCUAAAAAUUGGUGCAAAUUUCUUUUUAUGGGAUACUUUCUAUUUUCCGAGUGGAACAUAGUCAAUAUCAAAGAGUCUGUCACUUGACAGUAUCAUUACUUUCUAUGUGCGUUAAGAAACAUGGUCGAACGUCAAAGAAUUAUCCUGGUGAAUAUUUAAUUAAGGACUUGAUCGAAUACAAACAAACACAAAUAAAAGCACAAUGCAUCGAGCCCCUAAAUUUUUGAGCAAGAUAUUGGACAAAGUUUAAGAUUUAAUAUGAUUAUAGUAGUCAUUCCGGCCAGAUAAAUAAUCCAAUUAAAUAAGAUACUUGUUGGCCUCGUUAUUAUUCCUUCACAAUCACAAGCACAGGAAGCUACAGCGACUGGGGGAGCCUGCCACAAACCACAAUCGAAAUUGUCGAAAUGCCAACGGCAUCUCCAAUUUUCUUCUCAAUAAUAAUUGCCAACUCACAGUAGAUGGGCAGCAAUGAGAAUUUUACUUGGAUGAACCAAAUUUGUGGCCAUAUGGCUUUCUCUAGUAGGUUCUGUUGUUGUUGCAGGAGCAGUAGAAAGAUCAAUUUUGAUCCGUUGAAGCCAUCAAAUUCACAAAAUCUAAAUAAAGAAAUAUUAAAACCUCACAAUCUCUCCACUGUUUUCUUACAAAAACACACCACCUGAAUUAUUUCUGAGUUGAGACGGUUGACAAGUUCAGCCACUAUUUGAUUAAUACCAGGCAACUCACCCUUAUCUAACAUCAAUAAAUCAUAUGAAACAAUUAUAAUAUCUAAAUAAAAUUAUGAUAUAAGGAAAAAUAAAACUUAGAUCACCAAGUUUGUCCAAAUGUGUUGCAAAUCUCUCUUAACUUCAAUGUGGAGGGUUCAAGACUCUAUAGUAGUUGUGGAAUUUUUAUAAUUAUGCUGUCUUCAAUGGACUUUAAUUAUAUUAGAGUUUGAUAUGUUUGAUUGAUUGUACAUUUAAAUGGGCUUCAAUUGUAUUUGCUUGGGUUUGAAUUAUAUAUAAUGCUAUAUAGAGAUAGAUUGUUUUUAAUUUGGGUCAGUGCGAUCGAUGGAGCUCAUCUUUCAAAACCAAUCUUACGAUCGUACAGAUCAUGAAAAAUAAAGUCUGAUAAUAUAUUUAGUGCCCAUUUGAGAUUAUAUUUAGGAGGUUUAAAAGUGAUUUUGUAAAGUUAAAAAUUAAUUUUGGUAUGUUAUAAUUAAAAAAAAAAAAUCAGUUUUGAUAAAAUAACCCUAUCCUAUAACAGAUUUUGAAAAGAAGAAAAAAUAGUAUUUUAAUACAUGAUUCUAAGAAUCAAUUUUACACUCAUUACACUAUAUAUAUAUACAUAUAAACGUGCAAACAAUUUUUUUUUCAACAAUAUAUACAUUUUAUUCAUUUGUAUUCUUACAAAAAUAUAACGGCAAGAUUUACCAAAUUAUAUAAACUAUUUUCAAAAUUUACAAUACUUUUGAAAAUAAAAUUUUACCUAAUAUUCAAUUGAUUCUCUUCACUUAUUAUUUUUAUAACACAAGUAACAAUAAUUAUUUUAAAAACUAGGGUAUUACCAAACUAACCCUUAAUGUGAUAAAAUAAUCUAAUAAACGAAAAACACUAAUGGAAAGCAGCCACUAAUUUAUUUCAUGAAAUGUUAGUGGUGGUUUGCAGUAUAAUAAAUAUAAGGAAAAUUACCUCUACACUACCCUUUGUUUCUAAUAUUGUAUUAAUCAACUACUUUUACACUAAGAAUAACCAUUUUACUCUUAAAUGGUCUAAAAAACUAUUUUAUUCUAUAAAAAUUUUUAAAAAUAAAAAAUUAUUCUUGAAUAAAUCUCAAAAUCUAAUAUGAUAAUUUUUAAAUGAAAUUAUAAUUAUAAAAAAUUAACUUCUUAUAAAUUAUAAUUUUUGAAGAGGAAAACUCCCUAUAAUUAUCUUAAACGUCCCUAUAAUUAAUAUUAAGAAACUUCCCUAUACAAAUUAAAUGAAAUUAUAAUUACAAAAGCAACCUUUAAGAGCUCCCUUCAUUUUCAGAAAAUAAAUAAUGGUGCGACCCAACAUUUGAAAAAAAAUAAAAAUAAAUAAAAAUAGGAAGGGGGCAGAAGCAAAACAUAGGGGCAUUAUUGGUAGUUAACAGUUGUCGUGACUCGUGAGUUUUGUCAUUUGCAUUAUUUUAAGAAGAUUUGCAGUGACAAAUUUAAACAAUGAACUCAACAUUAAUAUAACACAAAGACAGGAGGCCCAUUCUUCUAGUGGAUUUGAUUGGAAUUUGGAAAAGGAAAUCAAUCUUCAAUCUAUUUUUCUAUUAAGACAAUUAAAUUUAAAGUCUCUUUCAGACAUUAUUUACUUGAUGUAGUUUACUUCACCAUCCUUUCCUUUCCUUUUCGGAGAUGGGGUCACUUUUUUUCUCUUUGUAAGUUUUAAGAAAAGACAUACGCACACAGCAGCUUCCUUAAAGCUGAAGCGUUUCUUUUUUUUCUCUUUUUGGUAUUUGAUACACUGAAAUCAAAUGGGUGUGAGCAGGCCUCAGAAAGCAGCAAAUGGAGUUUCUACCAGAUGGGUUUAUGUUUUCUGCAUUGCAAGCUUCUUCUUGGGUGUUGUUGUUAUCAACAGGUUCUUCUCUUUCUUUCUCUCUAUCUCUUGUCAUUGCUGAAGAUCUUGUCUUUACCUGAUCAGCUCUUCUUGGAUUGCCUGCUUAUUUUUAUGGGAGUUCAGAAGCUCUUAAUACUUUCCUUUUUUAAUUUUUUACCUUUUCUAUAUGUUACUUUUUCCUUUUGGGCCAUCAUGUUUUCUGCAUAUCUUGUAAAAUCAUAAACAAAAUGCGAUCUUUAUGAAUAGAUUUGGCUCUUGCUUUUGCUUCUGGAUUCGGUGUCUGUAUUCGAAAUUAAUAUUCCGUUGUAUUGUUUAAACCAUUGUGCUUUUUUUUUUUUUUUCAAAUAUCACUAAAGUGCAGUUGGUGGAAAUGGGGGCUGUAUAAAUUGCAAGAUUUGGAGGAUUUGUUAAUCUGGGCCUGUGUUCCCAUAGCUUUCUAGUAAUACAUAAGGUAGAUUUGAUGGUGUUGGGCCGUGGACAUAAUGAGAUUCGUCUCAUUUAGUAAAUUCCUAUCCAAUCUUGAGAAUUUGUUUGCUGCAUUAGCGUACCAAGUAAUUUUAUAUUUUGGCGGAAGGUUCAUGAUCCCGAGAAGGAGAUAUUGUUGCUCUGUGUUGAUUAUAAUGGUGCAAAACAGCUUAACUAGCCAACUCCAUUUAGAUGAAUUAAUGGCUUUGCAAACCAAAGAGAAAGUAGUGGUCAUGGGUUUAAAUGAAAGCUAUUAAAAGCUGUUGGCAGCUAUCUAAGGAUAUUUUCCUGGCGGCAUUGGGUAAAUUAGAGCAGCUGCCUGCACAUAAGUCUUCAAACAGAUUAUGUGCAGAUAUCUUUUACCAGGUUGGUUUUGGAUUUUGAGCUGUAUCUUGGUUGAUCUGAUGAUUGUAAAAUGUUCGUGUGCUUUAUUUAACUUGGUUUGCCUUCAGGCCUUUGGAAUUAACUGCUAGCUUUGUAAUGCGAUCUUGUAGAGGAAAUCUAUCCGUCACUGGGCUUUCUAGAUUUGUAACUUAUAUAUGUGAAGAUAUAAUACAUGAUUGACCUACAGCUGAUUAUGUUCCCUCAGUUUCUUUACAACUUACAUACAGAAAAACUGAAGAUGAAAAUCAAUCAUAUCAAAAUUCAAGUUAAUAUCACAGUAUUGUGCUUCCUUGGUCAAGCUCUCGGUAAAAGGUAUUGGGUAUUUCUUUUGAGAAGUGACCAUAGAAACUUUUGGCAUUCUCAAUGAAGCAUGCUUGAACCACCAAAGAGUAGUUGUCUAUCAAUCAAAAUUGCUGCAAAAAUAUCUGAGUCCACAAGAGUGCUGGUACUCUAAUUGGUCAACAAUUGUGAUUGUAUCGAAGAAGCAACUUCCGUAUUGUAUGAAUGUCUACUCUUCUUGUAUCUAGUGAAGGAUGGUCAUGUUAUCUAACCAUGAUAUUGCUUUAUGUGGAAGAGGAGAUUUUGUUCAAGUGGAACGGUGUAUCUCUUCAUUCUGGAGGCAUUUGGUUACUCCUUUACUUGGACUAGAGAAUAUCAUUUAUGGGGUUGGACAAAAAGAAGUAUUCUGGCAGAAAAGUAUCAUGAGCAAGAAAGAUAAGGUCAACUUUUGCUGACAUGAGAUUUAAGUUGUUCCUCAAUCCCCAUUGUUUGAAUGUAGAAACUAGUCAUUUGAUAUGUCUUGUUCUAAUGGUGUGUCUCUGUACAUCACUAUACAGUGCACACUAGUCUUUGGCAUAUUAUGACUUAUAUGUACCAUAGGGAAUAUUUAAUCUAGGCCUUUGUUUUUUAAUGUUAUAUUUGUUGCUUGAUAUAUCAUUUUACUCUUUUCCAUUUACAUGAUGCUAUUUUAUUAACAUUAUUUUCAUGUCCACUGACAAGCCGCAAUGCCAAUUCGACAGGUUUUGGGCUAUUCCUGAUCCACUUGAUAGGGAUAAGGUUUCACCUGAGAAGCAUCGAUCAGAAGUACUACAUCCUACAGUUGAUUGUGAGAAGAAGGCAAGUUAGAAGGAUAGGGCUUUUGAAGCUCCACUGACUUUGUAAAACUUAUUAAUAAAAUUGGGUAUUCUGUUACAGGAGGCUUCCUUCCAGACAGGGGACAUCCUUUCUCAAGUUUCACAAACUCAUGAUGUAAUCAUGUAAGUUGCAUGUUGUGAUGAUUUGUUAAAAAUAAGGAUUCAGGACAAAAUCCUGGUUCUUCAAUUGUAUAUUUCUUGAUCUUUAAACUAAAAGCCCCUGGUGACAUCAGCUAUGUAAAAUGCGUUUGAAGUCUUUGUUUGAUAAAUUUGUGUCAAAUGAUUACAGGACAUUGGACAAAACAAUCUCUUCAUUGGAGAUGCAGCUAGCAGCAGCUAGGGCUGCCAAAGGUGAUACUGAAGAAGCUUCUCCGAUUGUUACAAAGUUGGGAACUGAGAACUUGAAGGCACGUCGGAAGGUUUUCUUUGUCAUGGGAAUCAUUACUGCAUUCAGUAGCAGGAAGCGAAGAGAUUCGAUCAGGGAAACUUGGAUGCCUAAAGGUUUAGAGCAUAAGAAGAACUUUUCUACUUUUCUCUCAUCUACAUCAUUAUGGUUUGAAAUAGGUGUAUGUUUACACUAGUUGGCUAUUGUUUAUUUUAGGGGAUGGCUUACUGAAGUUGGAGAAUGAGAAGGGAAUAAUAAUGCGGUUUGUUAUAGGACAUAGGUUGGUCUACUUGAAAGUGCAAGUUAUUAAUUAUCAUACUAAUUAGCUUACUUCAGAGUGUUAGUAUUGACAAAAUAUCUUUUACUAAAUUUUGUGGUCAUCAGUGCAACUGCUGGUGGUGUUCUGGAUCGGGCUAUUGAUGCAGAAGAUGAGCAGCACAAGGACUUCCUGCGACUGGUAUGUAUACCGAUUCAAAUGUGUGUGGCUGGGAGACUGGGAGACAGAACUACAUUGUCAUCACAUUUUUUAGUUUCCAAAGAGAUUAGACCAAAUUAUAUCCAUCUAUUGUGAAGCUUAGUAAGAGUUACUGUUACUUUUAUUGCAGAAUCACAUAGAAGGAUAUCACGAAUUGUCAUCGAAAACCCAAAUAUACUUCUCAACAGCUGUUGCCAAGUGGGAUGCUGACUUCUAUAUUAAAGUUGAUGAUGACGUGCAUGUGAAUCUUGGUGAGUGUAUCUUGCAUUUGAACGCAUCUGCUCACUAUUCGGAGAAGAGCGUGAAUAGAUUUGAUUUCAAGGUCUUUGAAUUAGUUUCAACAUUGAACAGGCAUGGUUGGUUCUACUUUGGCCCGUCAUAGAUCCAAACCGCGUGUUUACAUUGGUUGUAUGAAGUCUGGACCUGUUCUGGGACAAAAGUAGGGAAUGGAAAAUGUAACUUUUCUGAAUUCUUUCUGGUUUUAAAAAAUUCACAUUAGUUAUCUAAUUUAGUACCUCUGGAUAUAAAAAUAUGCAGAGGGGUCAAGUACCAUGAGCCAGAAUAUUGGAAAUUUGGCGAGGAGGGGAAUAAAUAUUUUAGGCAUGCAACAGGGCAAAUAUAUGCAAUCUCCAAAGAUUUGGCAACCUAUAUUUCGGUAAAUAGGUUAGUCUCUAUGUGAAUAAUCAUUCUAUCAUCACUAUCAAGUCUUAUUGUUUUAAUUAGUAUGACUUCACUCUCCAGGCACAUACUCCAUAGAUAUGCAAAUGAAGACGUCUCUCUAGGUUCUUGGUUUAUUGGGCUUGAUGUAGAGCACAUUGAUGAUCGAAGCCUCUGCUGUGGGACUGCCCCUGGUAUGACUGUGAUGCCUAUUAAUGCUCCAUAUAUACAUGGUUAACUCACCUUUUUACUGUCUCCUUUGUUAAUCAAGGUAAUGACAGAGUUAAAUGUGUGAUUAAUAGAUUGUGAGUGGAAGGCUCAAGCAGGAAAUCCUUGUGCUGCGUCAUUUGAUUGGAGCUGCAGUGGCAUAUGCAAGUCAGUGGAGCGAAUGGGAGAGGUACACCAGCGGUGUGGUGAGGGCGAUGAAGCAAUCUGGCAUACAAGUUUCUGAGACUUGCCUGCCCUCUAGCGGUUGUAAAAUAUUUGCAUAUGUGAUGAUCAAGACAGUGGUUAAGGAACAGAAACUGCCCGAUUUUUGCUUAUUGAUGCCUCGGGGACAGAUAGUUGGUACAUGAUUAAAUUAAUUCAGUGCACAUAUGGAUUCUAAUCUCAGGAAAAAUGAAUGACAAUCUAUAUUCUAGCUUCAGAGUUGUUUAGCCUUGUUUGACAACGACAUAAUAGAUUAAACCGGCAUUUAUUUGCAAAAGUAAUUGGUGGUUGAUCGAUCUAUCAUGGUCAGUCGUCGGGAAUUUGGGGUACCUACGCAACUGCCGACCUUUUUUAUAUGUGAAUGCGACUGUGACUGUGAUCAAAUUGCUUAAAUAACUAUAUAUAUAUAUAUAUAUAUAUAUAUAUAUACACACACGCUGUCGCCUGAAUCGCAAUCACAUAUUAGCCUUGUUUCGAUAGCGGGAGUCUCAAAUCUGAACUGAAGAAGAAGUUGGCGUAGCUAGCACAUGUUACAUAUGUACGGCCGAAAUUUUCGACGGAAAACAAAACUCGAUCAAGAUUGUAAUAGGAAUAAAACCAACCAUUAUUAGUUUCAUUUGGUUGAAGUUGAUGCUGGUGUUGAUAAUUAAUGGAGUUGAAUGCUAAAUAGAAGUGGACCCACGUACGUCCAUUAAGGAUCUUCCUAUCCCCAGCUCCACCGUUAUCAAGGCAAUGAUUGAAUAUAUACAAAAUUACCUAAUAGGUUUAGGGUACACAAAUUUAAAACUCAAUUUUAAUUUUUAGACACAAAUUUUUAAUCAUUAGAUCAAAAAAGAAUAAAGAGCCAAGAUCAGAGAUCUUUUUUUGUAAAAUUUUUAUAAGAGCUUUUUUUUUUUUUUUUUAACCCAAAAUAAAUGGAAAUUGGAGAUAAAUUGGAUGUAUUUAAAUUUUUUCAAAGGUGGAUGCUAGAAAUUGGAGGAAAAUAGUGUUUGUUGCUUGCUAAAUUUAGAAAAUUUGUAUUUAUUUUUUUGGAGGAAAAUAGUGUUUAUUACUUGCUAGAUUUAGAAAAUUUGUAUUUAUUUUUUCUCUUUCAAAAAAAUAAAUACAAAUUUUCUAAAUUUAGCAAGCAACAAACACUAUUUUCCUCCAAUUUCUAGCAUCCACCUUUGAAAAAAUUUAAAUACAUCCAAUUUAUCUCCAAUUUCUAUUUAUUUUGGGUUAAAUUAUAAGUUUGAGGGGUAAAAAGGUCAUUCCGUUAAAUUUGCUAACGGAAAUUAGACGGAAGUGGAAGAAUACAACAAAAAGUGAACUUCAGGUGGCGCGCUAAAAAAAAAAAAGUGUUUAUAUAUUUUUAAAAAAGACAAAACAAAUAGGUGGACGGUUAUAAAUUUCCCUUUUUUUUUACCAAUCCUUUUUUCUUUACACAAACUUAUUACCACAGUUAGGGGGAUUGCAAAUGUUUUAGUGGCUGACAUGCUCUCUUGUUAUUUGUGAUGAGGAAUAUUAUUAUUAUAUACUUGGCCAGAAAACCGUUUAAUUGCAAUGCAUGCCCACGGCCGAGGGCCGGCCAACCAAAUAGUAGCUAGUAUUUGAUUUGAUUUGAUUUGAUUUGAUUUGAUGAUACUCACUCCGUACGGACAAAAAGGAAAGGAAAAGGGGGCUGGAGCUAGCAAAGAAAGGAACACGUGCUAAUGAAUAAUCAUACAUAUUAUUAUUGGUUGGAGCCCAGUCCCGCCCUCAACUCAUAAAAAGUCAGUGAGGCUGGGUCUCAGAUACGUAGAGAGGUGGGUGGUGACGGGCGAGAGGACUGAGGUGACCCCCCGCUUUCCGCCUUUCACCAGCAACGAAAAUUACAGUACAUGAUCAAAAUCAAUCAUCAAGAUUCAUGACGGCGAAAAAACACUCGAUCGCCACUGUUGAAUGAUCCAUUAAGUCAUCAUCUCAGAUUCUCAGUUCUGGUAAAAGCUACAAAAUAAAUUAGAGAAAAGCAGACACUAUUGAACCAACGAAUUAGACCCAGAAAACAAACCUUCCCAUAAUUUAAUAUCAGCCUAGCCUACCAUGUGAGAUCGUUCAAAAAAAAAAAAAAAAAAAAAAACCCUUAAAAAAGUAUUUAAUUAUUCCCACUGGGCCCGAGCCGGGCUGCUCAUUUCUCUCUUAAUUUUAAUUAUAGGAGAUGGUUGGAUUUGAUUUCACCCCAUGGGCUUCAUUAAAAUUCUCAAGUCCAACUUGUGGAAACUUUCUUUCUUUCUUUCUGUUUGACCACCACCUGCAAAGCAUUCAAAUUUCCAAGGAAUUGACUCACUAAUAAAUAACUUGUACGCAAUGACCAUUAUAAGCCUUAAUUCGUUUCUUAUUGUCAACUCAAACUGCGUUGCCAGUUUUAAUGUUUUGUUAAUGAGCAUCUCACAACUCGGAUGGGGUGAGGGAGACUGACUCAACAAACUCAUCAGGAAAUUGGUUGAUUAAUUUACGUGUUAGAUUUGACCGCUUCAAUUCAAUCUUUUUCAAACUCAUUCUUCUUUCUCCUCUACUCUUGGUCGGUGCCAUUUUAUCAUAAUCACUUUUCCCUUCCAACAUAAAUGGUAAAUUCAUGUUCUUUUUUCUCUUUUAUUAAAUUUAAUAAUUGUAUUUUGGGUUUCUCCCUUUAAACUAUGAGAGUAAAAUUUCUCUGUACUUAGUUAAGAAAAUGAGCUGAAUAUACACGCGCAUGAUUAAUGUAUGUAAAGAAUUUAAAUGAAAGACUAGUUGGUUAAAAAUUUGUUGUUACUCGUAGGUUUUCACUUGGGGAAGUGUAAAAUAUAAAACUUAAGCAGCGUAACAAAGGUACAAAAUAUGACUAAAAAAAUUGUGACGAUCUUGAUUUGAAAAAAGAAAAUAGAACUUAAGAAUAAUCGAAAGAAGAAAAAAACAACGGGGUCAAAUCUGAAAUUUUUUUUAAAAAAAAAAAAAAGGAAAAAGAAGAAGAAGGUAAAUUAAGCAAACGUGAAAAACGAUGGACGCGGGGAGAGACCAGUGACCACAGACCACACGGAGCAUCAGCCGUAUAUAUAUAUAUAUAUAUGUAUUAUAAAUGGGGGGUCAUUAGUCGGAGAAGACAACAAGUUGAUGUAAGCAGAAUAGCAUUCCCUCAAUUUCUCAACUCAACAGCCCACCAACACCAUUCGUAUUCAUAUUCAUUUUCAUGCGUUAAUUUGAUAUUUUGUUGCCUCUCAGCCAACUUCCUUCUCUUACCUAUUUAUAUAUAUAUAUAAUAUAAAUAUAUAUAAAAUAAGCAACUGUGCGGGCACACAUAACGCGAAUACUACUGUAGCAAAUUAAAAAAUAGGAAAAGAAAAAAAUAAAUCUCGGGCCUACGGGCAAUCGAAGGAGACGACUCUCUACCGCUAAUCUUGAAAUCCUUAUCCGAAUCUUGUGUUCUCUCUUCUCUGUAAUAAUCUCUGCUCCCUCUCUUCUCUUCUCUGCAGUAACCCCCAUAUCUCUCUCUCUCUCUCUCUCUCUCUCUCUCUCUUCAUAUAUUUAAUUAUUCUCAAUUUCUCAUAUUCAAUUCAGUAGUCUUUUUGUUUUUCUUUUUUGCUCCUUUUCAAGCCCUCGAAGAAUCGCUGCGCUUCACGCCUAGCUAGUAAUUCGAUUCAACCGGGGGUUCGUGUUUGGAUAUUCCUUUUCUUUUCUUACAAACACAAAGAAGUUGAUUUUAUCAUUAAUAAUUCAUCAAUGGGUUUGGCUUCGGUUUUGUUGGAGAUAUUGCAAAAACCCUCGAUGGUUGACGUGAUAAGGGAGCUUAUG
RNAcentral lists this long non-coding RNA (62768 nucleotides) under Citrus sinensis (sweet orange). RNAcentral's name for it is "long non-coding RNA (CSIN_LNC001857)". Lineage: Eukaryota; Viridiplantae; Streptophyta; Magnoliopsida; Sapindales; Rutaceae. The record is from RNAcentral.